UUUUUUUUUUUUUUUGGUUUGUUUUACUUUUGAUAUUUGAUUUAGUUUUGUUUCCUUGAUUUCAGGUACUAGAGAAUUAAGACAUGGAUUUUGCUACCAUUCAAGCACAAUUGGUGAAACUUACUUCUCAAUUGUCACAAUAUGCCGAAAGGAUCACAAUGCAAAGUGUCCCUUCAUAUGGUGUGUCCUAUGGGCAAGGAUAUCCAACUCAUCAAUGUUCUCAAUUCGCUGCGAAUGAAGAUGCUUGGGGUUAUCAAGGCCAUAGCCAAUCAUGGGACAACAUGUUUUCCAACGCUUACAAUUCGGAUUAGAGAGAUUAUUCAGAUUACAUGUGGGGAGAACCUCAACAAUUCCAACAAGAUGGAUAUUGGCAGCAAGAAGAUGAGUUCUAUUCAAGACCUAUGCAGCCACCACAACCUCCACCACAACAAUUCCAAUUAAAUUCAAGUAUGCCUAUGAGUUGUGAUGAAAUUCUUGAUGUACUAACCUCUUUGACGCAGAGCUCACAACAAGAAGAAUAUUUGCCACUAUCGAAUGAGUUCUAUCAUUGGCCAUAUGAACCAUCACAGCCACCACAAUAAUCUGCCCAAUUCAAUUCAGGUACGUCUUUGGAUAAUGAUAUGUUUAAUAAGUUACUCACGCUUUGAACCAGGAAGUAGAAAAUCGAAACAAAGAAAUGCAAAAUCAAGCCAAUAAGACGGGGUGAAUUGGAGAAGCAAAUUGGGCAGAUUAUGGAGUUCAUGGCAUAAAUUCAAGAGCAAAGUGAACUCUCAAACUCAACUAUUGAAAAUUUGAAGGAAGAUUUUUUAAUCCAUGAUGCUAUCACUUUGGGAAGUGCUAUGGAGGUUGGAGGUGAACCCAAGACAUCCAAACCAAACCAAAACAUGAAUGAACAGCUACUGCUUAAGAAGAGGAGAAUAACAAGGCCAUGGCAAGGGAAGAACCACCUUUGCCGCAUCCCCAUAUGCCCUCUAUGUCGUCCACUACAACUAAGGUAAGUCUAAAUUCAAUUUGUCCUGACCCCGUUUCACCAAAUGUCCUUAUUCCUUGCAGGAUCAUGCAAUCCAAGGAAGAAGAGGGUGAGAAAGGCAUCUUCGAAACCUUUCCAAAGAAUCAAGAGCAAGAAGUGGAUGGGGAAUGUCUAGAAUUCAUCAAAGAAGAUACACUUAAGACAAAAAUUCCCAAAAAAGUUGGAUUUUAUGACACGGGAAAAGUCAUAACUCUCAAAACACCAAAUCUGGCCAAGUCCCAUAUCUUUGCAACCUUCAAAGAUGUGGUGUUCGUAAUUGAGUUUGUGUUGGACCAAGCAAGUAAGCCAUCUUUUCCAACUUCGAUUUUAUUAUAUACUAACUUGCUGAUUUUGAUGAUUCAGGCACAUACACUAGAAUUUAAACCAUUGCCGGAUCACGUUAAGUAUUACCUUCUAUUCAAGGAUCAAUUCCAUGCUAUGGGCCCUAUCCAAGUUUAGAAGGAAGUUUCGUCCGGCUGGAAGAUGUUAAAGCAAGCGCUUCUUGGGAGGCAACCCAUGUAUUCAAAUGAGGAAGGUUUUUGAAUCGCUCCACAAUCAAUUUUGUGUUUCUAAAAACCUUCCCUUUUCUGCAGUUUUAUUUUGCCAUGAUUGUCAUAUUUAUUUGUUGCUUGUUUAAAUGUUUUUGGUGUGGGUUUAUUUUUGAAACAUUGACAGAUAUGCAAGGUAUUUUUACAUUCAUGUUCAUGAAGAAAAAAAGGAACAUUAAGCAGAAAAUACAAGAGGAAGCCUUCACAAAGGCUGCUUAGGAGAAGUCUCAGUAGUCGGCGGAGCCCUAGAAGGAGAAGGCAUCGGAGGUUGAUCAUUUGGGGCUUCAUUACGCGGUACAGCCCCAGAAGACGAAGGCAAAUGCUGUUGGAACAAACCCACAAACCUCUGAUGAUCAAGUAAAAUCUGACCAUCAAAUUCCUGCAUCUGGUCAAUCUUCAUCUUCAUGUUUGUAGCAUAGUCAUGUGCGAGCUUGUGCAACUGUUUACUCUCGUGCUUGAGCCCUUUAAUCUCAUGUUUGAAACUCAUCACUUCAGCCGCCAACGAUUCAACUUGACGGGUUCGAGCAAAUAGGCACUUGCCAUAUUAGACACAAAACAUGCACACUGCACACUGAGAGCCAGAGAAUCCUUAACAGCCAACUCAUCAGACUGUUUGGAAAGCAAUCUGUUAUCUUUGAGAGUGACAAGGUUCCGGGCCACCAUCGCAGCAGUCAUAUCAUUCUUCAUCAUCGAAUGCCCAACGGUAAGAUGACCAGUAGGGGAUAUGAAGGAAAGGCGCCAUAUGUUGUCUGGAGAAGGCAUGGCUGCCUCUUCACCAAGGUUCAUGCCAAAACGACGGUCGGAGGGGCCAGACAUUUUCAAAGGUGUUGAAGAAAGAAGAGGUCGGACAAGUCAAGAUCGUAGAAGUGCAAGAAAGGAGUUUCUACAGGCAGAAAUUCAAAUGUGCUUUGAAACGUACUGCGCGCCUCUAUAAAUCGGAGAGGCAUUUGCUUUUCCAGACAUGUCAGCAUCUGUCACAUGCAUACUCAGCUUUGUGGAAAUCACGGGCAGUUUGUCGAAGCGCAGAUUCUAGAUAUCGAAGAGGCACUUGCUUUUCCAGACGUGUCAGCGCCUGUCACAUGCACAUUCAGCCUUGCGAAAACUACGGACAAUCUGUCAAAGAUUUCUUGUGAAGUAGAAGGCACGUGAAGUUUACUGUUAAAUCAUCCAACGGUUGCCGACAAGAGUGAAAUAAUAGUACCGGUUAUUAAUUCCUAUAAAUGUCAACCUUCACCCUCCAUUGCAAGGCAGACAUACAUAACCUUUCUUCAUUUCCGAGAAUGUCUUCCCAAUGAAGCCUCUCGAGUCACUCAGUGUUCCUUAUUCAUUGGGGUACCUCUGCAAACAACUCAUCCAAAGAAAAAGUAUUUCAUAUCAUGAAGGUUGAAAGCAAGAGUAUCUCAUAUCAUGCUUUCUCCCUGUCCUUCUCCAUGUCGUUGUUUUCAUCUGGGGGACAAGGAAAAAGAGAGCAAUUAGCCACCACUUGGUAUCAAUCUUCCGAUCUGGAACUGACUGCCUGGAACCCCUUCCUGAUUGCUUACCUAGCCUUGCUCUCGAGUACUCAUCUUCAACAUCUUAUGCUUCCUCUUCGUCUACCACAUCUGCCUAGGGAACAUAUAAGGGAAGUGAAAAUGAUACCUCGAAGCAUGUGGAGACAAUGUGCUAAUUCAUCCUCAGCUAGGGACAAGGAGAAAGAAUGCAAAUGGUGGGCACUUGGAAAGAUUGAAGAAAGAAAUAGACCAUCACUUCUACCUUGUGCCUGCCUGUCGUGCAGAAGAAACAAGCAGAGAAGAAUGCAGACUGCACAAUCAAAUCAACCCAGAAGAAAGAGUCUGAUUUGAAACCAAGGAACUUUGAUAUUCCUCGCUCAGAAUUCCAAACCAGUUCGAGAUCAAAGCUGUGGAAAGUCGCCAAGAUCAGCUAUCUCCAAAACCAGAUUUGCAUUCUUAAACUCUACUCUGUCUGGUUUUUACUUUACCAUACUUGUCAUGUUUAUUCGUUGUUUGUUUGUUUGCUUGUUUUUGUGUUAGUUUAUGCUUGAAACAUUGAGGACAAUGUUUGAUUUAAGUGUGGGGGGGGGGGUAACCAAGUUAUUUUGCAUGAAAUUCGUAGGAGUUUAUCACCCAUUACUUCUAGUGUUGUUCCUUGCUGUUUUUAAGUGUUUUUAAGAUGUUUUGGAGUUUUUUAGUGUGUUUUGACAUAAAAAUCCAAAAAUCUCAUAAAAAUUUGAAAAAAAAAAUUGUUUUGAAAACCCAAAAUAGAGUUGUUUUUUGUGUGUUUAUUUGUGUCUUAGGGUACCUUCCAACACAAUGAUGAGGAUUUGGUUUUUAAUUACAUGACUGUUAAAGAGAGUUAUAAACAUGGAUGAAAAUUGAUUUACUCUUUGGUGUAUGCUUGGUUGUGGUUAUAAUUUAUGAAUUCACAUGCAAUCAUAAAGUUAAAAUCGGUUUUUGUAACAUGCUUGAAGGAAGGAACUCAAAUGAACGCUACAACCUUGUGAGACUUGAGCCUAAACGUUUAUUUGGAGAGUUAAUAAUCUGUGCAUCAUUGUUUUCUAAAGUCGUUGCAUGAUCUCAUUAUUCUUUGCUUGGUUGCUACUUAGAAGGCGUUUCAUCAUUUAGUUCCAAAUGCUAGAACUCAUGCCUAUUUCAUUCAAAGCAUGCUAUUGAUUUGCAUAACACAUAUUCAAGAUGAAGUUGCGUAGUGACCACUAAAGCCAAAUUGCCAUGCCCCUUUUUCAUUAUGUGUUUAAGUUUAACCCCGUUGAGCCUUGUUAAGCCUAUGUUCUUUGUUAACCCACACUAUCCUUACCUAGCCUAGUUUUAGGAUCAUUCAUACCCUUGUUCUUGAAGCAUAGUAAAGCAUGACCUAAAAUGAACUCAUUUUUUAUCAAUGUAUUGCAGAAAGCAAGUGUGGGGGAAGUGAUUCUUGUGUGUAUGUGUACCAAAGUCCUUAAUAAGGCACAGGUAGAGAAAAAAAAAAGAGUAUGAAAAAGAGCUCUAAAGUGUUGUUUGUUAAAAAAGGGUCCAAAACAUUGAAUUCAGCCCUAAGUUUUGCAUGAAUCUUCCCUUUGUAUGUAAAAGUUGAUUCUGCAUUCUAAAGUGAAUUCCAAGUGUCUAUUUUAUUGCUUUGCUUGCUAUCGCUUUAAGAACGUUUGUUAUUCCUAUCCUUUCUUUGUUAGCCAUUACCCCUAAGCCCUGUUACAACCCUUGACUUCAAUCUUGAGUGUUAUGCAUUUCAAUUUGUGGAGUUCGAAAUUGGUAUGAGCAUAUGGUGUCAUUGGUUCUCGGAUCUAAGUAGUAGCAUACCAUUCAUGAGAUCAUAUCUAAACAUGCUUAAUAACUCCAGAAAAUUGCUUCCUUUGUUAUAACAUAUGUGAGUCCCAGUCUCUAGUGUAUGGUGUGUAGUCAGUAAAUGUGUGUGAAAAUAGAGAGUAUCUUGUAAGGAAUUGAGCAAAUUCUCUAAGGCAUGUUACUACAUUCAAAACAUUAUUUUAAUUUCUAAAUUGUGAACUCGUAAGUAGUGACUGUGAUUAAGUUUGUACUCAAGUGUGAAGAUAACCAAAAUCUGUGGGAAUGAUGAUUUUUAACAUGUCAUGUGCAUUAGAAAUCCCUGAGGCAAAUGUUGGAAGGUUAGGUUGUGUUUUGUUUGUUUUGUUUCGUUUUGUUUCUUUUGUUUUGUUCGAGGACUAGCAAAAGCUAAGUGUGGGGGAAUUUGAUAGGAGCAUAUUUAUGCAACUUAGUUAGCUUGUUUCUUGGCAUUUACUUAGUUUAAUUCUAGUUAUUUUAGUACUUUAAGCUAUUUUUGUGUGUUUGUAGGUUCAAAUAACAAAGUACUAUUUGGAGCAUUUUGGGCCAAGAUUGGAUAAUGCAAGCAUGAAAACAUGAGGAUGGACGUUUUUUAAGAUUUGAAGGCUAGAAAUCAGCAUGUGUGUGUGCAAGUGUGUUGACCUACAUCUACAAACAUCCAUCCACUACACCCAUUACAUCCACUCAUUACCAAACAUCCAUCCACUACACCCAUUACCAAACAUCCAUCCACUACACUCACUACAUCCACUCAUUACCAAACAUCCAUCCACUACACCUAUUACAUCCACUCAUUACCAAACACUCACCCACUACACCCAUUACAUCCACUCAUUACCACAACACUCACCCACUACACCCAUUACAUCCACUUAUUACCAAACAUCCAUCCACUACACCCAUUACAUCAACUCAUUACCAAACAUUCACCCACUACACCCAUUACAUCCAUUCAUUACCAAACAUCCAUCCACUACACCCAUUACAUCCACUCAUUACCAAACAUUCACCCACUACACCUAUUACAUCCACUCAUUACCACAACAUACACCACUACCACCUUAAUUAGAUGAUGGUCUUUUCCCUAGCCUAUAAAUACAUCCACCCUUCACCAUAACAGGAGGGGGAGAUCCAUCCAAAGACACAUUCACAAUGACAGUUUAGGGAGAAUGGAGGAAGACACAUUCUGCUACAAGGCAGAGUCUUUUCUUCUUAACCAUUCUACACAUUCCCACAACAAAAACACAAUUCCAUGCACCUUCAUUUCCCUUUCCUUGCCGUGACCUCCAUCCAACCUAAACACAUUCAGCCAUUCCCUUCCAUAUAUCCAUACGCAUCCAUCAAACCACACCUGGUGCCUCAACAAAGAGAAGAAGGAGUACCCUUGGACGUGCUUGCCAUUCAAGUUGGAUUGUUGGAGCGUUUUUAGGUGUUUUCAUUCUUUUGUUUUCAAUGUCUAAAUUUGUUUAUCUUUGCUUUGUGAGUAUGCAGAACUAAACCCCCCUUAGCUAGGGGGAAUUCGAAACCAUGUUCAUGCUUGCAAUAUGAUUUGAUUACUUUCAGUUGUGAUUCAUAAGUUGUGAUUUCAAUUUACUUAUCCAUUUGAAUUAAAACUGAUUUGUGUAUGUUGGUUGAGAGUGCACGCUUAAUUUUCAUGCAUAAAUCUGAUGCUAGGAUAUAAGGGAGUUUCACCUAAUCGUUAUGAACUUAUAUUCACAAGUAGUGAAGGUUGCUCGUCACAACCGUGUUAAGUAAAUUCUUGGCAUAAGUUUCAUGCAAUUCAUAGUUACAAGUGUUUCGUCAAUGCUUAUGAUUUUCAUAGAACUUAAUGAUUCUUUCUUGUAUCUCUAUUAUGCAAUUCAUGUAAGGAACCUGUGGGGAAUGCUUUAGGUUGUUGUAUGCAAUCAUCCAAUUCAAUGAAAUUAGGAAAAUCUGAGGGUUAAUUAGUGCAAUUCACAGUUAAUCUGGGGCGUUGAGAAUUCGUAGUUUAUUGAAAAGCAACUGGAAAUCGUAUUGUUAGCAAGUGUGUCAUGUGUGGAGAAGAACCUCCUAGGUAGCGUUCCAUCCAUUCAAUAUACUCAAAUUCGUGCAGAUUUCAUUAGUUCUUUAAUUUACUUGUUUUGUUUUCAAAUUCGUCAAAACCAAAACCCCUUUUACCUUGUUGAGUCAUAUUAGUUAGAAGCUGAUUUAGUUUGUGUUUUUAAGUAUUUCGAACCAAGUUGAAACCAAAAUUCGUCCAAAAGUGUGUUUAGAGUCCAAAUUUGCCCAGUUUAUGUUUUUAGGCAGAUUUGAGUCUUUUUAGCUUGUUUUGAGUUCUUUGUGUUUAUUUUGAAUUCUUUGAGUCUAGUUUAGUAUUUUAACUUUGUUUAUAUGUUUUUAAGUCAGUUUAGAGGUUAUUAGUAAGCCCUCCUAAUCCCCGGUCCAGAACGAUCCCUACUUACAUUCUUUACUACAAUUGAUACAAGAGGGUUUAAUUUGUGUGUUAAGUAAAUUCGCAUCAUAGACCAUCUCUUCGGUAGGCUGUUUAACUUGGAGUUUGCUGAGAAAGACUUCGAGGCUUUUUCUAUUUCUUCGGAAUACUUGCUUGCCUUUACUUUUGAGGCUUGUAUUGGUGAAGUAGUCGGAGAGGUUGGUGCCCAAGCUAAAGCAGCCAAGGGUGAAACGUCGAAUGAUGCCACUGCUGAGAGUGUCGCGGCUGCUGAAAGUGUGGCUAGUUUGUAGUCGUAGGAUGUCCAAGCAGCUGAAGAGUAAUCUUUUAGGUAGUCUUUCGGAUUUUCUUUGUUUUCCUUGUUGGUUUUUGCUUUGCUUGAACUCUUUCAACCUUUACCAGUUGUUUAUCAAUUUUGCUAGAAAAUUUAAUAAACUUGCCUCAUUCGUUUUUGUUCAUCUUUGAUUCUUUUGUUCAUGCUCAACCUUUGACAUCCAAACUAGCGGCAAGCGUGCUACUUUUUAAUAAGCAAAUAGGCCCGCGUAGCUUAUGCAGCUGUGGGUGUUGUGUGGAAUUUUGCAAAGUUAUUAGCCAUAGGGUUAGCAGUUGGACGCUUUGCUUACAGAAGCAGGCAAAUCUGCAUGACCAUUAACUUAUUAACCUUGGCUUUCUUCAAUCCUUUGAGCUGUGUGGCCUGCAUCACAAUGUACUAAAGAUUUUUGGGUUAUGAAAUUUGCUAACGUUUUGUAUCUAAAGUACGCGAUUGUAUGGAAUUUCGUAAGUAAGGGUUCGAGAAAACUCCUUGAUUUUAUGUAACCAAUUUCGUAGGUUGUGUAGUAAGUAUCACAAACUUUAGGAAUUAGUGUAGAUCCAAAUGAUCAUUCUGCACUUGGCAGAGGUGAAGCUUAUCGACUGCGUAGCAUGUCGACAAUGGAUAAAGCUUCAUAUAUACACAAUAACUUGUUUAACCUUUCACAAAAAUGUGCGAUUGUGUAAGUUUAGCACAGCUUACUGCACGAAGAGCAAGCUGUAAGCAGUCUUCUAAAAACCGUAAGCUACCUUAGUGCACUUGGUAAUAGCUUUAGGGUUCCAGGGCAAACGUUCAUAGGGCAUACUGCGUAAUAUGCCCCCUUCAUCUUUGGGGCCCGAUUCCCUGAGGAUUAGGCCAAGAGACCCAAAAUCCUUCAGUUAGCUAAGCCUUGAAAAAUACCAUUGUGGCUACUUCUAAGAAUCUUGGCACAAGCCAUCAUGCAUAUAGUUAUACUAAGCAGACCGACUCAUCCACGUCUGGAUAUUUAGAGUGUAGAGUUUAUCCUCCCGUAUUGGAGAGCCGACCCAUGUGUGUAUCAGGGAAUUGGUUUACCCUAUCGCAUUGGAGAGCAUGGUUGGUCCAUUGAGAGGUGCAAUUCUUGCGAUGAGUCUCUAAGAAUGGUGCGGUCUUCUUUUGAAGUGCAUAAGUGAUUAGUUGUAAUCAUACAGUCGAGCCAAGUUGUAAUUACUUCUAAAUUCCUCAUUGAAAAACGAGUGAAAUGAACGAAAACUUAGCUGUAAAGUAGAAAUUGCAUAACAACUAAAUAGUCAUCGGCUUGCGAGGUGGCGUCCGUUGAGCUGCUUGAGUCUUCGGGCUUUGGUAUAGCAAGAGGUUAUGCAUGGUACUUCCUUAGAUUGUAGGCAUUCCACUACUUUUCGAUCUUUUUAUCGUUCAUAGUGGCGAUGGUGUAGCUACCCUUACCGCCUACUCUGCUUAUCUUGUACGGACCUUCCUAGAUAUGAUCCAUCUUUUUUUAGCCUUCUCUUCGGGCAGUGAUGAAAGGUUUCCUCAGGACUAGGUCUUUGGGUUGGAAUUGCCAGAUCUUAGCCCUUUUGUUGUAGCUAGAGAGGAGCUGCUGCUGCUAGGUUGAGAUGCGGGUGAUGACCUUUUCGCGAUUCUUCUAUGCCAGAUCUAGAUUUGUGGCCAUCUCCUUUCCAUUUUCCUCUAUGCUUGGCAAUAAAGUGUUGAUACUUGGCACGAUGACAUUGGGAUGAAUGAUUGCUUCUAAACCAAAUGCCAAAAAGAAAUGAGUAUCACUGGUUGCUCGUCAUUUGGUGGUGCAAUAUGCCCAUAGACAUCCGGGGAGUUCGUUUGGCCAUUUUCCCUUCUUGUCGAAGAGGGACUUCUUGAGGUUGUCAAGAAUCAUCUUGUUAGAUGCUUCGGCCUGCCCAUUGCCUUGAGCAUACCUUGGCGUGGAAAUGCGCUACUUGAUGCCAUAUUUUUAGAAGAACUUCGCCAAAUCUUUGCCUACAAAUUGUGGGUCGUUGUAUGUGACAAUGGAUUGAAUGAUGCCAAAUUGGUAAAUGUUGUUCCUCCAUAUGAAGCGCUCUCUGUCCGUCUGAGUCGCGGUUGUCAUCAGCUCUACUUUUACCUAUUUGGUGAAAUAAUCAGUUGCCACGAUCAUCAUGCAUCUACCCCCAGUAUCGGGCAGCAUUGGCAUUACCAAGUUGAUUGCCAACUGCAUGAAUGGCCAAUAACUCAUCUACGAGUGUAGUUCACUAGAAGGCAGUGUUGGUACCGGCUUAUAGUGUUGGCAGUGGUCGCACUUUUGGACUAACGCAUUAGCAUCUUAAUGCAUAGUAGGCUAAUAAUAACCUACGUUAAGAGCCUUAUGUGUUAAGGAUCGACCUCUGGAGUGAUUUCCAUAAAUGCUUUCAUGGAUUAAGAUUAGAACCUUUAGGUCAUCGGGAAGCGCUUGGCAGCGGAGAUGUAGACCAGUGUGGGAUCUUCAGACAAGAAUGUCAUUCCACAUGUAGUAGCGUGUUGCCUUUAUUUGGAGCUUUCUAGACUCCAACCUUUCCGUGGGCAGUGUGUCAUUGACCAGGUAGUCUAUAAUGGAACUUUGCCAGUUUGGAGUUGUACUAACCUAUGACACCUCAGCAGUUGGCUCCGCCUCUAUGUUUGGCUUGUCUAGAUACUCCACCGGAAUAGAGCAUUAAGUUGGUGGUCAAGGGUAAAGCCUAGGCCAGCUAGAGCGUCCGCGUAAGCAUUGUUUGCCUGCAGUACUUGAGUGAGAGUAUAAGUCUGAAAUGCCUUAAGCUAUUUUCGUACCUUUUCUAGAUAUUGUGCCAUCCUUUGAUGUUUUAUCGUGUACUCCCCAGUAGUCUGACUGAUUAUUAGCUAGGAAUCGGAAUGAAUUGCCAGCUUUUUCACCGCCAAGUCUUUAUCCAUUUAGAAGCCUACUAGUAGGGCCUCGUACUUUGUUUCGUUAUUGGAUUCUUUGAAGCCUAUAGUGAUUGUCUGCUCGAGCAUUGAACUGUCUGGUGUAACAAAGACCAUGCUUGUUCCCGAGCCUUUGUAGUUGGAUAAGCCAUCGACAUGCAAAUGCCAGAAGUCUCCUUCGGGUGGAGCAGGCACGGCUAGGGCAUUUAUCGCCUUGUGGGGUCGGUGUGAAUUCCGCUAUGAAGUCUGCCAAGGCUUAGGCUUUUAUCGCCUUGUGGGGUCGGAAAACUAAAUCGUAUUGGCCAAGUUCCAAUGCCCAUUUCAUCACUCGUUGAGAAGCGUCUAGACCAUGUAAGAUUGAUCGUAAAGGAUACUGAGUCCUGGCGAUGACUGUGUGAGCUUGAAAAUAUGGACUGAGUUUUCGAGCCGCAAUAACUACCGCCGAAAUUAAUUUCUCAAUCUUUGGAUAUCUAGUUUCCUCAUCGAGAAGAGCUUUAGAAAUGUAGAAUACCAGUAGUUGGGACCCCAUUUCUUCUUGUAUGAAGGCAAACCUCAUAGCUACUUUUGAGAUUGCCAAGUAGAUGUAUAAGUCCUAUGCUACUUCCGACUUGGAUAGUAAGGGCGGUGAUAUGAGAUACUUCUUUAGAUCUUGGAAAGCUCUUUCACACUUAUCAUCCUAUUUUUCUUAUUGUGCCCUCUUGAUGGCCUUGAAAAAGGGUUGCAUCGAUCGGUGGAUCACAAAAGAAAGUGGUUGAGGGCUGCUACUCGUCCGGUCAAGCCUUGGAUCUUCUUCAAAGUAGUUGGAGAUUUCAUCUUUAGGAUUGCUAGGAUUUUCUUAGGAUGUACUCCUAAUAAUCUACUUGAAGAUACUCCAAAUGUUCAUCUGGCGAGAUUCAGCUUCAUCUUGUAUUUUCUAAGGAUGUUGAAAGUUUCUGCCAAGUUGCUGAUAUGGUCUGAUCACUGCUUGCCCUUCACCAUGAUGUCAUCAACAUAGAUCUUCAUGGUUACUCCAAUUUGGUUCUUAAACAUCAUGUUUACUAACCUUUGGUAAGUGGCUCCUGCGUUUUUUAGGCCAAAGGGCAUGACCUUGUAGCAGUAGGUGCCUCGCUUAAUCACGAACAGUUUCUUAUCAAGCUCGUACAUGGUUAUUUGGUUGUAGCCGGAGUAUGCGUCUAAGAACUGAGCAGCUGAUUCCCAGAAGUUGAAUCUACUAAUAGAUUGAUUCGGGGAAAUGGAUAAGGAUCAUUUGGGCAUGUUUUGUUGAGGUCGAUGUAGUCUACUCAAACCCUCUAUUUUCCAUUCUCUUUCUUCUCCGGCAGCUGGGGAUCAAGAAUGAUGUGUUCGGCGUCUUCUUCGGGUUUCCAUCCUAUCUCGUAUGCUGGCGCAUUGGUUUGGACAUCAUCUUCUUGACUCGCUUGGUGUAAUUGCUAUUUGGUAGCUUCAUUGUCUCCUUGUGAAGGAAAUAUAUGUGAAAACUAGUUAAGUUGAGCAAUAUCUAUGCAUGCAAUUAACAAUUAAAAGGCAGAAUCAUGCUUGUAUACACUCAAAAACAAAACUUAACCCAUGAAAUUCAAAGCCUAGUAGUUAUGGUGAACCAAGGCUCAACUAAAAAACAAAGUGAGUUGAGAAAUAUUAAACCUUUGUUGAUUCCUCUUUGCAUAAGCAAAUGCUAAUCACCCAAGAGAAAAGGCCUUCAUUACUUACUUCUUGCUCCAUGGAUUUCUUGGAGGAGGAUGGAUGAAUGGAUUCUCCAAGUUCCCAAAAUAGAGAACCUCUAAGUCUCCACACCAAGGAAAGCAUUGAUGAAUAGAUGAGCGUCCUAGAGGAAGGAAGAUUGCUAGCUAUGUUCCUUUUGGGUGGCCGGCCUCUUAGAGAGAAAAUGAGAGCUUAUGUUCUCUCCAAUUUCCUCAAGAAAACCCUAAAGAUGAAAUGGCUAUAAAGUUGUCUUUAUACCACCUCACAUGGAGUGGCAAACUUGCAAUUUAGCCAAGUUCACUACCCCUCACUAUUAUGGCCGGCCAUAUUGGGUUCUUUGGGCUUUGAGGCCCUUUGUGCUUCAAGUUGUCAUACAACUUGAGUUAUUGGACUUGAUAUUCAAAUCCCAUUAGGCCUUGCAGCCCAAAACUAACCCAAGGUCUAUAAUUAACUUAUUCGCUUGAUUAAUUAACAUAUUAAUUAAUCCUAGCCAUAAAUCAUUAAACCAUUUAACUAUCCUUACUCAUCUCCGUUGUUUCUUCAAUCUCUACCUUAUUCGGUGUACGAUCUAUUAGGUUCAUUUUAGAAAGGUAAUGGGUGAUUAGAACUCUUCAAAUCGAUUGUGAAUUGAAACUUACUUUCAAUUUUCCCUUUAGUGAUUAUACACCUUUAGGGCUUCCACAAACCAUGAGUGACACCUAGCAGUAUGUCAUGGCUACUCAAGCUAAUCAGAAGAGGUGGAGAACCUAUUCAGUUUAGGAUUACAAUGCAAUACGGUUUUUCUCUAAUACAAUACUCUUGACCACAUUGUUUGGUUUUAUAGUUUAUUCAUGUCUACUAUCCAAUGUGGUUCUCUUACUUAUAUGAUUACCUUGAAUAUGAUUUGGAAUGACUUCCUAAAUCUCAUUCAUACUCUGGCCAGAGAUUCUUAAUCAUAUCAUAGAGUAUUCUUCCUCAAACAGUUUGAAGGUUAAAGAUCCCUUGUUGCACAUUCACUUGCCUCCAUAGUUAAGUGGCUUAACCCCAACUAUACCAUGGACAUCCUAUGAAGAAGUGACUUUAACAUAGUCAAAGAUCAAUGACCUAACCAGAAGACAACUAUGAUGCUUCAGGUUAAAUGACUACUUUGCAUUAUCCCAACCAUGAGUUCUCAUGUGAAAUGAGUAUGAGAACUCCUUGUUGAUCGCGUUUAGUAGACUCAUUCUCUAUUGAGCACCUACGUGCUUGUCUUGGUGCCAGUCACACUAAUAACUCGAGACCAGUUACUUUCCCUAAGAAAAGACAUAGCACGAACUGAUCUUAACAGACUGUCAAUACCCAAUUGGCAAUCCUAUGAUCAGGAACGUUUAGGAUAUGUAUACGAAAGAUAAUGGUCUCAUGAAUCUAACUUCUUUAGAUUACAUUCUCCCAAUUACAUAUUCCUUGAACUUAUCGUUUAAGCAUAUAACAUUUAUAUGAGAUGGCUUUAAACAAUAAUAUUUUCCCUUUAUAUUAAACUAGAUUAGUUUAACAUGUGAAAUGUCCGUACAGUAUCAUCAUAUGAUUGGCUUUAGGGCACAUUUCCAACAAUUUGGACCUCAGUAGCCUCUACGGGGGUAAAGGUCUUCUUUCUUGACUCUUUCAGUACUUGCAUAGUGCAUCAUCGAGAUACGACCUGGUCAAACUUGAUUUCUCCGACUUCUUCUCCCAAGAUGUAGAAUCAAAUUUUUUGGUACUUAACGGAAGUGACGACAUCCAGCUUUAUCAACCAAAGUCGCCCUAGAAUCCCAUUGUAGGGAUACAGGUCGCUUACUAUCUUGAAUGUUUGCUUUGAGACAACUGGCGGUGUUUUCACGUCAAGUGUGAUGUGGCCGAUCGAAGUCAAGGUAUGUUUAUUGAAUCUGAUGAGUACUUCCUCUCUGCGUAUGAUUGUGUUUUCCAGGCCUAUCAUCUGAAUUACUGAAAGCUGAAGUCGGUUGACUACACUUCCUUUAUCAACCAUCAUUCUGUCAACUUGUCGACUAUAGCAUGAGCAGUUGGAUAGAUACUACUAGUGCGUCGUCAUGAGAGAAAUCAGCUCUUUCGGCAUCCUACUCGGUGAAGUCAACGAUGAGUCCAGGUUGGGUAUUGAUUGCCUAGACCUGCGAGACUAGUAGAGCCUGUUGGAUCUUCCUCUUCUUUGAAUUGUUGGUGGCCCCCAAGUGCUCAUAUUUGACGAAGAUGUCAUUAAUCCAAAUCGUCUUGUUGAGCGAUUCUUCGUCGGCAUUCAUAUUCUUUCUAGGUUGCGCAGCCGGCUUGUUUAAGUAUCUGUCGACUUUGCCUUUGUUCAUGAGCUUCUCUAGGUAGUUCUUCCAAGUGUAGCAGUCAUUAGUUGGGUGACCGGGACCUCAAUGGAAUACGCAAUACUUGGUGUGGUCCAACUUUGAAAUAUAUCCCUUUGAUUACUUUAGCUGCUUGAACCAUGGUUCGCUCUUGAUAUACAGAUGAUUUGGCCUCCUGCCUGCUUUCGUUCUGCUCGCCGAGCCUCAUCCCAAAAUGCAUGCUUCUCUACCAGAACGAAAGAGUCUGCCAGAGUUAGAUCUUCUUUCAUGAUCAAUUCUCCUAAUAGUGGGUUAUCUUCUAGGAAUCCUUUUUGGAAGGCUACACUCGCUAUCAAGUCGUCGCAUCCGACUAUCUUUGCCUUCUCUGCUUUGAACCUUCACGUAGUCGUGGAACGACUCCUUUGGGUUCUUCUUCAUGUUGAACAAAUGAUCAGACUUCUUCUUGAUCGAGCGGCAUGACGAAUAUUCUUUGGUGAAAACCAAAGAAAGAUCAUCGAAACUCCGAAUGGACCAUGGCGGCAAGGUGUGGAACCAAUCUUGCGGCUCUCCUUGCAAAGUGGUGGUGAAUAUCUUGCACAUAAGGGCAUCGUUAUUCCGAUAAAGGACCAUCGUGUUUCGAUAGUGCUUCAAGUGUCUCUUCGGAUGUCCAUCUCUUUUGAAGGAUGUGAAAUGUUGCAUGCUGAACUUGCAUAGAGGCUCUGCCCGCUCGAUCUCGUCCAUAAAGAGUGACCUACUUAUGUUAGUUAUGUCCCGUCGUAACGCCUCAUUGGUGACCUCGUUGCGUUGGAAAUCACACAAUCGUUGGAUCAAGAGCCUCACUACUUCUUCUUGAAUUUGCCUUUGUUGGGGUAGCAGAGCUCUCGGCUGCCCCCUAUCUUGACCUGUCAGUCUAGGCUGUUCUUCUAUAUGUUUGGCUUAUCUAUGAGUAGUUGCGGUGCAUGUGGUAUGUUCCUGGUAGGGGAGUGAUUUCCUCGUAUACUGCUAGUUGAACUUGAGCUGGAUUGAAUGACUGCUUCUGUCCGUCCUUUGUGUUGCCUAUUCCGAUGUGAGGUGGAGGAAGCUCCUUGCGGACCUAGCCUCGAAUGAACACUUUGCCUGGAUGGUUGCUCAUGUUGAUUGUCGGAGUAUGGUCCCAACCGUGAGUUUAUGCUUGUCUGUGAGCCUAAUCGAGAGUGCAUGCUCCUCCGCGCCCAAAGACGGGAGUAUACUCUAUCUUAGGGGUGGUGUAAACUUGCAAGUGCACAAGAUAGUCGUAAUAUAACGUUUUGCAAGUCCAAGUAUCGUUCCCACGAGGAUUCUAAUUCAAUCUCCAAUUAGAUAAACUAAACCAAAUCUAAUUAUAUUAAAGACACACAAACCCAAACAACGAACUAGACUCGAUCUUAAUUAAUAAGUCAAUCAAAGAUGUAAAGAAUUUGUUGUGAUGAUUUUAUAAAUGAACAAAAAUAGAACCUUAAGUAAAAACUGAAAUUAAAGAAAAGAAACGGUUGUGUUUUAAGGCAAGUGAUGAAAAUCUAGGGAUUCGGAAUCAACCACAAGCAAUCUAGUUUAGGUUUCAAUGCAUUCAAUGGAUCUUUCAAUUCUUUAUAUGAUAAUUCCCGUAUCUAAGUCCUUGUCAGGCACAUUAGACCAUAGUUUUCCUUAUGUGAAUGAUUCUCUCCUAGUUUAGGCAGAGGUCGUAUAUCCUAACAUGCAGUCUAUCUUGGUUAAGGCAUAAAUUUAACAAGUAGGACUCUUUACGCUCGAGAAAACAAAGGACCCAAACAAACCAUUAUUCUUUUUCAAGCAAUAAUGUAAUUUACCACACUUAACCACAAGAAGCUAAUUGAAUUAUAUUGCUAGUUCAGCCUCAAAUUCAUCUUCCAAUCUUACUAGAUGCAAAGUCCUAAGGUGAUCAAUCAAAGAACUCAAACAAAGAGUAACAAUUCAAACAAUGAUUAAGCAUUCAUCUAAAAGAAACUGGAAAUCCAAUGAAUAACAUUAAAAACCAUAAACAUCCAUGCUAGGGCAUCAUCCUAACCCUAGAAAAAGAGUUUAGUUACUCAUAAAAUCUGAAAAACAUAAAAUACUUCCACACGAUGGUGAUGGAUUGCCUAGAUGAUCGGUGACUCUGUUUCACUCCUUGCUACGACCUCUUCUCUGCACCUUCGAAAACCCAAAAACUCUCUCUGUCCGCACCUAAAGUCCCCCGGUCUGCCCUCCUUUAUUCCUGAAUAAAAUGCUGGAAUACUUACUUGAAUGGGACUCUUGAAUUUCUCUUCUGACUUGGAUUAGUUUAUUGAUGAUGUGGCACACUAAACUAUUAAAUAUAUUAACUAUGCACCGUUUAGAAUAGUCCUUAACUUUUCUAAAAGCUUCCUCUUUUUUUUCUCUCUGCUUGUUUCCUUUAAUUAAACUUUGUAAAUCUGAAAUCUCUUUGCAAAUCCCGCGUAAAACCUUGCUGGCAGACGUCUGGUACAAAAACCACUAUAACGUCUUCUAGGAAACUCGGAAUCACGAACCGUAAAGUUCUUCUGAAAGCUAACUUUCAUAUCUUUCCAAUGGUAUAAGACUCAACAGCUGGUUCAUUCUGAGGAAGUACAGUUUAAUCUGUAAAGUUGGCUGAUCCGCACAAACAGCCUCUGCUUCCAGCACGCCAAACUCAUUUCAAUCGCUAAAAAUGCUCUUUUUUCUUCUUUCUUCAUCUUCACACUUCAAAUCUAAGAAAAACAUAAAACUAAGUGAAACAAACUAAAUUCACUCAAAAGGAUAACAAAAAUCUAAACUAAAAGGGCAUGACAAUGUAUGCAAUUAUGAUUAUAUCAAGGGGCCCAAUCGAGAGUACACUACCAGAACGCUCAGUUCAUGGUUGGUCGAGUGGUUGCUUGCCAGGACGCUACUGGAGAGGUUCCUCGUCUUCCCUUGGGCCGCUGGGUUAUUGGGCCCGUGUAGGUUGGAAUGGCACGGCUUGGGCUUGUGGGCCUUGGGCCGUUGUCUUGGCACUGUGGGUAUGGGCUUUGUCGAAGGUGGCCAUGGCAACUGCUGUCGUGGUGGCUACCAUGGUGGCUACUACGGUGGCACCCAGUGGUGGUGGUGCCUCUGCACUUGUCGUUGCGUUGAGCCUUGUGGAUCGUCGUGGUCCCAAUUCUUGAACGUUGGAAUUUUCGUUCGUUGUGGUUUCCGAGUUUCUACUCAUUGUGCUUUUCUUUUACGUUUUAUCAAAGAAUUUUUAUAAAUAAAAAUUUCAAGAGUAAGAACAUACGAAAAAUCUACAAAUGAACAAGAAAACAAAAACCUUGCAUGCGAGAGUCUUUUAUGAGUGUUUGAAUCAAGAUUCUCUAUAAAGGCACCAAUUUGUGGAUUCAAAUUUCCGUCUUUUUCUUCUUGGACCAAAUUGCACCUAUAAAACAAUUAACACCUAAGGUCAAGGCCAAGAACCUCACGCAGACUUAGGUUUUUUGGAGAAAAUGAGGCUACAUAUAGGGGUGUGGCUGGCCCUAUUUGGAGAAAUAGGGACCGGCCACUUAUGGUGGUGAUUUGAGUGUACUUGCAAUUAAUUUGGUAAUUAAUCAAUUAAUUUUCCAAUUAAUCCCAAUUUGAAAGGAAUAAUUGGGAGUUACCUUGUGGGGAAGAUUUGAUGAGGAUUGAUGAGAGUGUUUUGAAUAAAUAUCAUUUUGAUCACCUUUGACCUUGAUUGAGCCGUUAUUGUCCGUUGCAUGCGCAUAGGAAUCCUGUUGUGCCUCGAGGGUAAUUUUAUUUUAUUUUUUACUCAAAAGUCCACAUGUCGCCUCUAUAAUUUUUUUAAUUAUUUUUUGCUCUAUUGUUAAUAACCCAAAGGACUGAGAGAAGCUCACCGCUUAGCAUAAUCGCCAGCAUCGAGCCCCCAACUACACUCUUUUAAUUAGAAAUUUAGAUUAAAUUUAGGCUUAACUUGUUUGAUGACCAUUUCAUUGUUGAUAUUUGAUUUCUAUUUUUUGUGCUCGAGAAUUUGAGGUGGUAUUCAUUAGAUAAGAUGGAUAAAGAAUGAUAAUGAACAAAAGGGUGAUGUGUUGUAUCGAUCAUUAUAAGCCUAGCAACUUCCAGUAGUGGUGCAGUUACAUAUAUUGAUACUAGAAAACAUUCACUUAAAUCAAAACAAAGUCACUUAGUACUACGGUCUAGUGGUACUCCUCUUCACUUGUAAGUGAGAGGUCUUAGGUUCAAUUCUUGCUAAAGACGAAUUUGAACCAUAUUAUUAUUAGAUCAUUGUGAGGCUUAGCUUACUCUCCACCCCCUUAGUCUAGAUACUAUCGUUUGUUAAAAAAAAAAAAUCAAAACAAACUUUAGUACUCACUGAUUGCAUGUUUACAAAUGACCUUAAUCAUAAGUAAAAAGAGUUACAUACAUAACAUUCAUAAAUAAUAAAAAAAAACAGCUAUAUCUUUGUUUGUACCAUACUUCACCAAUCCCUAAACUAUUAAGCACUGGUCAACGUUAUACCAUCAAGGACCCAUAAGAGUUUCCCUCCAACCAGGAGGCCAAUCACAGCACGACACGUGUCGACAUCAAAAGCCAAUCAUAGCGCGACACGUAUCAACAUCAGAAGCCAAUCACAACACGACACGUGUCAAUGUCAAAAUGAAACUAGAAACUCUCUUCUAUAAAUAGAGAUCAUUCUCUCACAAUAUUUCCUAAUGUCAUUUGUACUAAAUCAUUCACUAGUACUCACUAAAAGAGAGCUUGAACCUAUGUACUUGUGUAAACUUUUCAUAAUUAAUGAGAACUCCUCGACUCCGUGGACGUAGCCAAUCUGGGUGAACCACGUACAUCUUGUGUUUACUUCCCUGUCUCUAUCCAUUUACAUACUUAUCCACACUAGUGACCGAAGCAAUCUAGCGAAGGUCACAAACUUGACACUUUCUGUUGUACCAAAAUCCUCACUGAUUUUGUGCAUCAGCAUUUAGAGCCGUCUGUGGGAACGACACUUAUUCCCACUCUCUUCAGCUUUGUUAAGCUAGUUUCCACCAUUCGUACACUCUUUUUUUACCAAGCAUCCCUUUCCAACAUGGGGAGCGAAGGAAGCCACAGCACACAGAAUGACACUCAUCUUGCAUCUGGUGCGAAACAACGAAAGAAGGAACAAAAGAAGUUUGCUCUUCAAGCUAAAGUCGAUGAGCUGGAGGCUCAGAACAACAAGAUAGUGAUGAAGAAUGAGAUCCUCCAAGAGCAGUAUAAGAAGGUCUUUGAGAUGCUCCACGAGGCUAGAUAUACUAAAACACACGAGCUCAUCACCCAUGUGGAAGUCAACCAUCAACUGGAUGCCCCCCAACACAGAAGGUCAUUUGCCAUUAACAUGGGUAUUUCUGUUCAGGAGCGAGCUACUCAUCAAAAUGGUGACCAACAAAAGACUUCUCUUAACCCAGCAGCUUCGAUCCGAAGCAGGAGGAGUGGAGGAAGGAACCUCCUUACAGAAGAAGUGGAAGGAUUGAAAGACAUCUUUCGCGACUGUCGAGACAAUCCCAUCCAUGUAAGCUCGAAGAUCAAUGACCCCAAGGGUCUCUGAAAGACUCGGUCCCCUCCCAUGUCCCAGGCCGGCUACCAAUUUGGGGAAAAGGCAACAAGUCCUAGAGAAACAUGAAGGUAUUGUGGACUCAAAGGUGUUCCGACAAACAUACCUUGGAAGUCAGUACGAAGAGUCCAGGGAAAAAUCACAUACUCUUGAUCAAACCUUCCUACUUCCAAGAAAAGAUGGAGAUUUACGAAAGAAAGCUUUAGUGGUACAUGACUCCACUCAGGACCCUCUUGUCCUACAGCUCCUUAAGGAAGUAAACAAGUUGAAGGCCGAACGACAAGCUGAGAUACCUGAUUAGAACCAACCUAGGUCUGGCCCUCUUACAAGGAAGAUCCUCGACACCCCCUUUCAAGCAAAGACAAAACAAAAGCUUGGUUUACAACUCUAUACUGGAACGGAUGACCCAAUUGAACACCUUAACCUCUUUGAAUCCACCAUGGCAUAUUGGAUGCACACCGACGAAAAACGAUGUCUUCUCUUCCCCUCCACCCUCUCUGGCAGAGCUCUAAAUUGGUAUUGCCAUCUUCCACCUAAGACAUUAGACUUAUUUGAGGAACUCAAGAAACUAUUUGUCUCUCAACACAUCUUCCAAACCGAUCGCUUGCAUUCUGCAGAUGACUUGUACACUAUUAGCCAGAAACCGGACGAGUCACUACGAGAGUAUAUCGAUCGUUUCAGCCAUGAGUAUUCUCGCUGCGCUGAGGCAGAUAACAAGACAGCCCUCAAGGCCUUCACGGCAGGCCUACGUGAUUGUUUCUUCAAGUACAUGAUUUAUGCCAACACUUGGAAGACUUACUCUGAGGUGAUGGCACAUGCUUACAACUAUGCCUUCGCCAAGGAAAAAACAUAUCAAGGGAAACCCCCCACAACCACCCUUUAUCAGCAAGUAGGGAGUGGAAGCUAGAUCCAACAAAAUGAGAAGACCUCGACCUUCCACAUGGCAGUGGUGCCUCUCCCUACCUUACUUAAUACUUUGCCAAGUCAACAGACAUAUCAAUCUCAGGGCAAAAAGAAAGAUUUCCAUCUUCACCAGUCUCAUUUUAGUAAAAGAAGUAAAGGACACUACCACGAUAACCAAGGGUAUCGCCAUGAUAAUUCCCGACCCCAGGCAGUCAACACAAUGGGUCAAGCACGUGUCAAGACAGCCCCUACCCCGAGGUAUGAGGCAUACACACCUUUGAACGCCACAUGCGUGGCCAUUUACCCCAGCAUAGCACACCUGAUACCGAAGCCAAAGAAGCCAAGGCAUCUGGAUUACAAGCCCACGAAGAACACAGGCAUGUUUUGCUGCUACCACGAGCAUAACGGCUAUGACGGCGAGAAGUGUAUCACCCUUUGUAAUCAUUUGAAGCUUUAGCACGGGAAUGAACAAUUGAUCAAUUCCUCAUUCACCCCUACAAGGGGUAACCGUAACCAACGCCAGGUGAAUAGGAUGUAUUCUAUAAGUGGUGGCACACCCAUAUCUAAAUCUUCCAACAAGGCCAUGAAAAAUAGUGAACGAGCUUUAAGGUCUGGCCACCAAGUGUUCCACGUGGAAGACAUCAGGGGAGGCAAGUACUAGGAUCCAAUAUUUUUCUACCCUAAGGAAGAAAGAGGUAUCAUCUACCUUCACAACGACCCACUGAUCGUGGAAGCUCACAUAGCCAACCUUGAAGUACGACGAAUCCUGGUAGACAUGGGGGCUUUAGUCAAUAUCAUGUUUGUUGAAGCUUUCAAGGCACUUAAUGCAGCUAAACACUUGCUCGAUCGCUCGAUUUCCCCUCUGAUAAGCUUCUCUGGUGAUAUCGUGCAACCUUUGGGAAGCAUAGAUUUACCUUUCACCAUUGGUACAGACCCUUACACAGUUACCAUUACCACUAACUUCCUGGUGGUUGAUUGCCCAACGGCAUACAAUGUCAUCUUUGGACACACAGGCAUCAAUGAUCUCAAGGCCAUGGUAUCCACACAUAUGUUAUUGAUGAAAUUUCCAACCCCCUAUGGCAAUGGUUACAUCAUAAGAGAUCAACUUAGUGCAUGAUCAUGUUACAACACUUCAGUCAAGCAACAACACUUGCCUAUGCCCAAGGAUACCCUUUCUAUACAUGACCAAGUCAUAAAGACCAGUCCAGACGAAGCUAAAUUGGAUCUUCACGGUGGCAACAGUCAACCCGACGAUUCUCGAGAUGACUCUUUCACCCAACAAGCAUAACCCGCUGAAGAGUUGGAGAAGGUCUCUAUCUCAAAAGAUUAUUCGGAUCACAUGGUGAAGAUUGGCACCACCUUGUCACUACCCAUUCGGUUGGCAUUGAUCUUUUUUUUUUUUGCAAGAGAACACUGAGGUCUUCGCCUGGUCAUACGAGGACAUGCCAGGCAUCUCUCACGAUAUCAUCUGUCAUCACUUAAGUAUUGACCCCAAGACCAAACCAGUGAGACAAAAGCUAAGAUCUUAUGACGCUAAACGGUACGAGGCAAUGAAGGAAGAAGUUGAAAAACUCAAAGGCAUAGGCUUCAUCCGUGAAGUUAAUUAUCCAACGUGGGUAACAAAUGUUAUCCUUAUUAAGAAGAAUCCGACCAAGGAAAGUCUCAUGCUCCAAAAGGUCUUGUGGAGAAUGUGUGUCGAUUACACCGACCUAAACAAAGGAUACCCGAAGGAUAGUUUUCCUCUUCCUCUCAUAGAUAGACUUGUAGACUCUACGGCAUGGUGUGAACUCCUGAGCUUCAUGGAUGCUUACUCAGGAUACAACCAAAACCUCAUGAACCCUCCGGACCAAGAACACACAGCCUUCACUAUUGACAGGGGACUAUAUUGUUAUAAAGUCAUGCCCUUCGGCCCAAAGAAUGCAAGAGCGACUUAUCAGAGACUGGUCAAUUCAAUGUUUGCCAAACAGAUUGGGAAGAGCAUGGAAGUUUACGUUGAUGAUAUGCUAGUUAAGAGCAAACAUGAUGACCAACACAUCACCAACCUAUCUGAAACUUUCACCAUUCUGAAGAGGUAUCAAAUGAGGUUGAACCCCAACAAAUGUGCCUUCGGCAUAGGCUCUAGUAAAUUCUUAGGCUUCAUGAUAAGCCAACAAGGCAUUGAGGCACGAUACUCCAACCUUGAGAAAUUGGCUCUAGCAUUGGUUAUGUCUGCUCGAAAACUUCGCCCUUACUUCCAAGAACACUCCAUCAUCGUGCUUACCAAUCAUCCUUUUUUACAGAUAUUCCAAAGUCCUGACACUUCUGGGCGAAUGAUAAAAUGGGCGAUAGCAUUGGGUGAGUUUGACAUCUCCUAUCAACCAAAGCCAACUGAGAAGGGCCAAGCAGUGGCAGACUUCAUCGUCGACUUCACAUAUCCUGUUGACAUUGUUUAUACGCCUAAAUAAGUGGUUUCAUUACCCUCGGAAGUUUAGAAAAUAUAACCAACAACCCUAGUAUGGAGUCUAUAUGUCGAUGGCUCGUCCAACCAAUAGGUUUAUGGAGCAGGACUAGUCCUUACGACCCCUGAUAAAGUGGCGAUAGAAUAUACUCUUCGUUUCAAAUUCAAGGCGUUGAACAAUAAGGCUGAAUAUGAAGCCCUCCUAGCAGGCUUACGUUUGGCCAAACACCUUGGGGUUAAACGAAUUGAUAUAUUCAGUGACUCCCAAUUGGUGGUUAACCAGGUCACCAACAACUUUGACACUAAGGAUUGCUUCAUGGCAGCAUAUCUGGUACAAACACAAUUGUUACUCCAGUACUUCCACUACCAGAUCACCAGAAUUCCUCGAGCGGUAAAUAGUCAUGCAAAUGCUUUGGCUCGCCUCGCCUCAGCGGUGGAAGACAAGAUUGGGAGAAAAAUUCAGGUCGAAUAGUUGGCAGCACCAAGCACCAUGGCUACGGAAGUGUGCAACUUACAACAGGGGGAUAGUUGGAUUACCCCGAUUUAUAGAUUCCGUGCUCAUGGCACCCUUCCAAAUGACAAAAUCCAAGCUAAGUAGAUUCGAUACAGGGCUACCCGUUACUUGAUCAUUAAUGACCAACUUUACAAACGAGGUUUUAACCUACCAUACCUAAUAUGCCUUAUGCCCGUAGAGGCGAAAAUUGUCCUUCAGGAAAUACAUGAAGAAGUCUGCGGAGAUCAUGCUGGAUUUCGAUCCCUAACACACAAGGCUUUUCGCCAAGGAUAUUACUGGCCAACACUCCACCAAGAUGCCAUCAAAAUAUCUCGCUCAUGUGAUAAGUGUCAACGCUACGUAACUAUUCCUCACUCCCCUCCCGAGCCACUCAUUCCUAUGAUCAACCCUUGGCCCUUCGCCCAAUGGGGACUUGAUUUGAUCGGCCCAAUGCUUGUAGGGAAGGGUAAGGUCCACUAUGCAAUCGUUGCAGUUGACUACUUCACAAAGUAGGCUGAAGUAGAACUCUUGGCAACCAUUAAUGAGGCAAAAAUAGAAAACUUCAUUUGGAAGAACAUCCUUUGUAGAUUCGGCAUUCCCAAUACAAUAGUCACUGACAACAGGUGACAGUUCGACAACAAUAAGUUCAGGAUAUUCUGCUCAAAGUUCAACAUCAAUUUAUGUUUUGCCUCCCCAGCUCAUCCUCAGUCUAAUGGACAAGUUGAAGCCAUCAACAAAAUAAUCAAGGGAACUUUGAAAACUAGUUUGGACAAGGCUAAAGUUUGUUGGCCAUAAUUUGUACCCCAAGUUCUUUGGUCAUACCGCACUUCGUAUCGAACAUCAACAGAAGAAACCUCAUUCUCACUUGCCUUUGGUACAGAGGCAGUUGUCUCAGUUAAGCUUGAGCAAGCAACAUUCCGAGUCCAGCACUACGUGCAAAGCGAAAAUGAUAAACAACUUACCCUCAACUUAGAUCUAGUCGAGGAACACAGAAACCAGGCUCACUUGAGGAAUGUCGCCUAGAAGCAGCGCAUCUCCAACUAUUAUGACUCAAGGGUCAAACCUCGUUCUUUCAAAGUGAGGGAUUGGGUAUUGAAGAAAAGAUUACUCUGCGACAGAGUCCCGAGUGAAUGAACACUUAGUCCAAACUAGGAUUGACCGUUUGAAGUUGUUGGCAUCAGUCGCCCUAGCUCCUACAAGCUUAGAAGCUCCGAUGGCAAGACCUUUGGCCAUCCAUGAAACGCUGAUCACUUGAGGUACUAUUACAAGUAAACUCACAUUGUACAAGUGUUAAGCUUCAGUCGUUUAGCAUCCUAUGUAACGAAGACUAUUUAGCAUGAAUUCAAUAAAGAGGUGAUUUAGACAACUCGGUCCUAAUCCUCUUACAUUCCUAGCAAUGAAACGUUCGGGUUCAAAGCUUCAGCAUGAAUGCUUCCAACAUGAAACAAAGUUUAAGUAUAUGUCAACAAAACUAUACAAAUAAACGAACAGCUUCAUAGUAUAUUCGUUCAAUCAUACAUUCCAACAUAUUCAUACAUAAGCCAACUGUGCUUCGAAAGGGUUCAACAUACUUUGUGUCAUUCGACACUUGCUACAAUGUGCCUCGACACCUUGCCUUUAUUCUCACAAACCAAGUGAUGAAAUGUAAAGAAGAUCUUCAUGCCACCAACCAAGUGAUGAAAUGUACAACCCGUACUCUCCUUCAUGCCAUCAACCAGGUGAUGAAAUGUACAACCCAUACUCUAAUAUCAUUUGGCAACUUGCCACUCAUGCCACCAACUAGGUGAAGAAGGAACUCAUCUUCAUGCCACCAACCAGGUGAUGAAAUGUACAACCCAUACUCUCCUUUAUGCCAUCAACCAGGUGAUGAAAUGUACAACCUGUACUCUAAUAUCAUUUGGCAACUUGCCAUUCAUGCCAUCAACCAGGUGAUGAAAUGUACAACUUGUAGUCUCCAUCAUGCCACCAACUAGGUGCUGAAAUGUACAACCCGUACUCUAAUAUCAUUUUGGCCACUCAUGCCACCAACCAAGUGAAGAAGGAACUCAUCUUCAUGCCACCAACCAGGUGAUGAAAUGUACAACCCGUACUCUCCUUCAUGCCACCAACUAGGUGAUGAAUGUACAACCCGUACUCUAAUAUCAUUUGGCAACUUGCCAUUCAUUCCACCAACCAAGUGAAGAAGGAACUCAUCCUCGUGCCACCAACCAGGUGAUGAAAUGUGAUGAAGGAACUCACCUUCGUACUAUCAACCAAGUGAUGAAAGCAACUCACCAUUCAUUCCACUUACCAGAAGACGAAUGGUACAACUUGUACAUGUGAACUCCUAGCAUUCACAAAUAAUCAAAAACCCUCAAGCUUGACGACUCAACUAGGGGAGCACUUAUACCCAACAAGAGUUAUAGUCACCAACAAAGUCUUAUUGCAAGCCAACAACAACUUCAGUGCAUGGCAUACGAAGAUCAAGCAAUUCGGCCCUCUUGCAUCUGCUUCAGACAUUUCCCUUCUGUAACAAUGCAAACACUACAACUCAUAGAAAGCUGCACACAUUCUUGAUCAAGAUAGUGUGAAGCAAAACCAAUUUAUGGUGCCAACAAGAGCUUCAUCAAAUGAGUUCAACCACAAUUCUCAAAAGCUUCACACACUCUUGAUCAAGACAGUGUGAAGCAAAACCAAUUUAUGGUACCAACAAGAGCUUCAUCAAUGGAGGGCAACCACAAUUCUCAAAAGCUUCACACACUCUUGAUUAAGACAGUGUGAAGUAAAACCAAUUUAUGGUGCCAACAAAAGCUUCAUCAAUGAAGGGCAAUUACAACUCUUAGAAAGCUUCAUACACUCUUGAUCAAGACUGUUCAAAGCAAAUUCAAUUUAUAUGGUUCAUCCAAACCUUCGACUACUACAAGGUGUGGCUUGCAUCACAAUCUCUUGCUCAACAGUGUGGAAGCAAAAUUUGUAUAUGUUGUCUCUCCCACAUUUUCAAAUUUCUAAUUUUCCCGAAAAAAAAAGGAAAUUGGGAAAUUCAACAAAGUUUCACCAAAAAGCAAAAAAAUUCAGAACAAAACAAAAUUCUCAACUAAAUUCUUCAACACUAUCUUGAUCAAGAUAGUGUGAAGCAAAAUCAAUUCAUGGUACCCAACAAAGCUUCACCACAAAAGCUUCAUCAAUAGAUGACAAUUACAACUUCUCAAAAGUUUCACACUAUCUUGAUCAAGAUAGUGUGAAGCAAAAUCAAAGCUUUCAAAGCUUCACCUACAAUGCUUCAACUCCAAAGCUUCACCUACAAAGCUUCAACUCCAAAGCUUCACCUACAAGGCUUCAACUUCAAAGCUUCACCUACAAAAGCUUCACCCAUAAUAGCUUCAACUACAAAAGCUUCAUCAAUAGAGGACAACUACAAAUUCUCAAAAGCUUCACACUAUCUUAAUCAAGAUAGUGUGAAGCAAAAUCAAUUCAUGGCACCCAACAAAAGCUUCAACUCCAAAGUUUCACCUACAAAGCUUCAACUCCAAAGCUUCGCCUACAAAAGCUUCACCCACAAGAGCUUUACUUAUAAAAGCUUCACCUAUAAAAGCUUCACCCACAAUAGCUUCACCCACAAAAGCUUCACCAACAAAAGCUUCACCCACAAAAGCUUCCCCCACCACAAAAGCUUCACCCACAAAAGCUUCACCAACAAAAACUUCACCUACAAAAGGUUCACCUACAAAGCUUCAACAUAAAAGCUUCACCUACAAAAGCUUCACACUAUCUUGAUCAAGAUAGUGUGAAGCAAAAUCAAUUCAUGGUACCCAACAAAACUUCAACCUCAAAGCUUCACCUAUAAAGCUUAAUAUAUAUAUUUUAGAAAUUCAAAAAUUCAAAAAUUCAAAAAUUCAAAAAUUCAAAAAUUCAAAAAUUCAAAAAUUCAAAAAUUCGAAAAUUCAAAAAAAACAAAACAAAACAAAAAAUCGAAAAUUCAAAAUUAAAAAAAAAAUUACCUAGGCCUCCUCUUCUUUAGGCCUAACAACUUUCAUAACAAAUAUAUAUGAAUGAGGAGUUUUGGGCUACCACUUAGAAAGGAAAAUGGUGAAGUUUUGUUACUUUGGAAACUUGGCUGCUAGCAAGACACCUCAUUCGUCCACUCCCUCGACCGGAGACUUGGGGGACUCCUACCAUAUGCUACUGCACCUUGAUACUCGGAAGUCUCACGACCACUCAGUGACUUAGAUUUUUUCAAGUCUUCAACCGAGAAGUUUUCCUCACUCGGGAAAUUAAGGGAGGACUACCUCAACCUACAUGCUUCACUCACAAAACUUCAACAUACAAGUUUCAACAAAAUGAAAAAUUCAAAGAACUUAGUAAAGAAUGCCUUGGUGUAUUUAACACAAUACGUUGAAAUGAAGUAAAGCUUGUUUAUUGAUAUCUUCAAUAAGUUACAAAUAUGUACAUAUAUAUGAAUCAAAAUAAACAAACAAGAGAGAGCCUUCACAAAGGUUGCUCAGGAGAAGUCUCAACAGUCGGCAUAGCCCCAGAAAGAUGAGGCACUACAGGGUGAUUAUUCGGAGCCUCAGUACUAGGCAGAACCUAGAAGGAUGAGGCACCGAAGGUUGAUCAUUUGGAGCUUCAUUACGCGGUACAGCCCCAAAAGAAGAAGGCAAUAAAUGCCUUUGGAACAAACCUAUAAACCUCUGAUGAUCAAGUAAAAUCUGACCAUUAGAUUCCUGCAGCUGGUCGAGCUUCAUCUUCAUGUUUGUAACAUAGUCAUGUGCGAGCCUGUGCAACUGUUUAUUCUCAUGCUUGAGCCCUCUGAUCUCCUGUUUGAGACUUAUCACUUUAGCCGUCAAUGAUUCAACUUGGCGGGUUUGAGCAAAUAGGCGUUGGGCCAUAUUAGACACAGAACCUGCACACUGAACACUGAAAACCAGAGAAUCCUUAACAACCAACUCAUCAGACUGUUUGGAAAGAUAUCUGUUAUCUUUGGGAGUGAAAAGGUUCCUGGCCACCACCGCAGUGGUCAUAUCGUUCUUCAUCGCAGAGUCCCCAACGGUAAGAGGACCGAUAGCGGUUAAGAAUGAUGGGUGACAUAUGUUGUCUUGAGAAAGCGCAACGGGGUUGUUGGUUCAAAAAUCAAAGAGGCACCACUUUCCACACGCAACAGAAGCUCCUCGGGUACCAAAGAUAACUUUACCAAAGAUCUCUGACAAAGUUUAGACACAUAAAUUUUGAAGGUUCAGCUACCCUACCAUUACCCACAAGGGUAAAGAAAUAACACCACUGCUUGAUAACUGGAAAGUCCCUGUGUGUGUCAACCUCCGUGCUCCGUGGCAAGGCAGACUGGCAAAAAUGCCAAACCUUUACUCACAUUGAGAAAACACUCCCACCAGGAUUACUUGCUCAAAAAUCGAAGAGGCACCGCUCCCCGAAUCUCGAAAGCCAAACUCCCACCAGGAUUGCUUUCUCAAAAAUCGAAGAGGUACCGCUCCCCGAAUAUCGAGAGCCAAACUCCCACCAGGAUUGCUUUCUCAAACAUCGAAGAGGCACCACUAUCCGAAUCUCGAAAGCCAGACUCCCAACAGGAUUACUUGCUCAAAAAUCGAAGAGGCACAUCUCUCCGAAUCUCGAGAGCCAUACUCCCAACAGGAUUACUUGCUCAAAAAUCGAAGAGGCAUCGCUCUCCGAAUCUCAAGAGCCAGACUCCCAACAUGAUUGCUUUCUCAAAAAUCGAAGAGGCACCGUUCUUCGAAUCUCGAGAGCCAUAUUCCCGACAGGAUUGCUUGUUCGAAAAUCGAAGAGGCACCGCUCUCCGAACUUUGAGAGCUAGAUUUCCUUGGAUAAAGCUUGUCUGCAAUCUUCACACGCAACAUCAGCUUUCCAGAUACCACAGACCACUUUUUCAAAGUGCUCUGACAAAGUUAAAACAUGUGAAUCUUGCAGCUCCCACUACAUUAUUAUGACCGAGAAGGGUAAAGGAACAAUGUUACCACUCGCUGUUAGGACAAUUUCUAUAUAUAUCGACCUUCAUCCUCCAUAGCUAGGUAGACCUGCAAAUAAAAAAAUGCUAAACUUUUCUUCACAUCCGAGAGGGCACUCUCAGCAGAGUCUCUCGAAAUACUCAGCUUCUUUUUCCCCCGAUAAUACCUCUGCAAACAAGCCACACCAGAGCAAGAUUAUCUCAUAUCAUCAGGGUUAAAAGCAAGAGUAUCCCAUAUCAUGCUUUUUCCCUAUCUUUUCCUUUGGCCUUGUUCUUACCUGCAAGAUAAGGAGAAAGAGAGCAAUCAGUUAGCACUUGGAAUCAAGCUUCCAGUCAGGAACUGACUGCCUGGAACCCCUUGCCUGACUACUUACCUGGCAUUGCUCUCGAGUACUCAUCUUCAACAUCUUAUGCUUCCAGAGAAGAUACCACAUCUGCCUGAGGAGCAGAUAGGGCAAGUGAGAAUGAUACAAGGAAGCAUGUGGAGACAAGAGUAACAGAGCACGUGCCGAUACAUCCACUACUUUGUCAACAGCAAAAGUAUCUCAUAUCAUCAGGGUCGAACGUACUCUAAAUUUGAUGGACUUGUUUUGACCCUCAAAUUCUUGAGUCGACCUUAUACUCUGGAGGAAACCAGAAACCCCUCCAGCCCAUUUCAAGAAUAAGCCUAUGGAAAGUUACUUCUUCAAAAGAAAAAGUAUCUCAUAUCAUCUAUUCUCCAUUUGCUUCUCCUUAUCCUUGUUGAUGUUUACGACACAAGGAGAAAGAGAACAGUCAACCGAAAGCCGAAGUCGAACCUCCGAUCCAGGUUGCUUGCUUGGAAGUUUGAUUGCUUAACUUGUCUGUUACCUCAUUCCGUAAAUUUCCUAGCUCGGCGACUUGGGGGACUCCUACUAUAGGGUUUGUAUCGCACUUGACCAAGCCCGAAACUACAAGUAAGCUUCAAGUGAAAUUGAUACAUUACCUUGUGCAUCUUCAUUGGUUAAAGAUACCACCCCUGAAUGGAGGAAAAGUACUUCCAGAGAAGAUGCUACAUCUACAUAUGAGACAGAUAAGGCAAGUGAAAAUGAUACCACACUUCAGUACUUAGAAGUUUCGUGAUUACUCAAUGGCUUGGAUCUUGCAAGUCCUUAACCGAGGAGCUUCCCUCACUCGGGAACUUAGGGAGCACUGUUUAUAUCAUACUUGACCAAUCCCGAAACUAUUAAGCACCGAUCAAUGUUAUACCGUCAAGGACCCAGAAGAGUUUCCCUCCAACCAGGAGGCCAAUCACAGCGUGACACAUGUCGACAUCAGAAGCCAAUCAUAGUGCGACACGUGUCAACAUCAGAAGCCAAUCACAACACGACACGUGUCAAUGUCAAAAUGAAACUAGAAACUCUCUUCUAUAAAUAGAGAUCAUUCUCUCACAAUAUUUCCUAAUGUCAUUUGUACUAAAUCAUUCACUAGUACUCACUAAAUGAGAGUUUGAACCUAUGUACUUGUGUAAACCCUUCACAAUUAAUGAGAACUGCUCUACUCAGUGGACGUAGCCAAUCUGGAUGAACCACGUACAUCUUGUGUUUGUUUCCCUGUCUCUAUCCAUUUACAUACUCAUCCACGGUAGUGACCGGAGCAAUCUAGCGAAGGUCACAAACUUAACACUUUCUGUUGUACCAAAGUCCUCACUGAUUUUGUGCGUCAACAAUCUUAAACAACCAAACAUGAAAAAUAAACUUCAAACCUCUAGCUUUAAAGUUUCACUUGAAUAUAUAACAUUGUUAUAUAAUAAAAUUAAGAAACUGUCAUUUUUUAUAAUGUUAUUAAUGACACUUAAAAUAUCUCAUUGUACUCAAAGUUUUUAUAUUUAGAAAGAAAAAAAAUACUCUUAUAAAGAAUGCACAAUGCGGUUUUAAAGUGCUAACAAAAUCAAUUUUUGAAUAUAGAACAUUAUUACAUGAUAUUAGAUGGUAAAAAUAUAGGAGCCCCUUCAAAUUUAAGACCCUAUAUGACUACACAUUUCACUCCCCCUUAACGCCCCCUCUGUCAUGGACAUGAAGAAUCUAACAGAAUACGAUCUCACAUCUCGUAACAUGGUGUAAUAGGGUUUUUGCAGAGCCAUCCAAUCAAUAAGCUCAGAUAUAGAAGCUUUUCCUAUCCACCCGUCUCUUUAAAUCUCAUUUAAGUACAAACUGUUUUGCUCGUGUGUGUGUGUCAUAUCAGAUCUUGUGUCUAUGCUACAUACGAAAUCGGCAAAAUAUUAAUAAAUAAAAAAAAUCAACAUUUUUAAUGAUACAAAUUCACAAUCGAAUAAUAUAAACAUGUAUUAAUGUUGUCAGAAAAUAUCACGACAAUAACAUUUUGGGUUUUGACCAGUCCAAAAAGUAUAGGUUUCUUUUUUCUAGUUUAUGAACAUGAUACACGCACAGGAAAAAUUAGUAUACGAUCCCUAUUUUUUAAUGUGCAUUGGCCGAGACUUUAUCAAUUUUUAGAUUUUGAUCAACGUCAUUAACAUUAAUGUUUUAGUGAAUUACAUGUCAGUUACAUAAUUUUUAAAAAUAAAAAUUAGUAAUUGAUUUAUGGCUUUAAUACUCACACCCUUAUUAAACUCCUAAUUAAUUUUCAAUUUAAAACAAUUCCAAAAUAUGAAAGAUAAAAUUAGAAUAAGUUUGUACCCAUUCAUAUAAUUUUUUUUAUUUUUUUUCUAAUUUUAAAUGUACCCAUUCUUAAAUAUACUAGUUUGUAACCAAUUUGUUAUAUGUAAAAUACUAAUUUGUUAUAUGUAAAAUGUACCCUUUUUCAAUAUAAAAUGUACCCAUUUUUUAUAUAACAUUCAUUCAAUCUUUUUUCUAAUCCAUUUUUUAAACUUAAAUUGGUACAUUCUAUUUCAUUGAUUUGAUAAUGUAUUCAUGUCAAAUUCAAUAGAAGAUAAUUAAUAAUAUUAUUAAGCCUAAUAUCUUUUUUUUGUGCUUUGAAAAAUGUAUCCAUGUUUUGGUACAAUAAUUUUUUGGAUAGUUUUGAUGAAUGUACCAUGUGUAUAUAUAUACACAUACAUAUACAAUAUAUUGGAGAGUAUAAAUUAUCUUUAAAAUUUUUAACCCCAUAAAUUAUGGGUUUUAUUUAAAAUCUCAUUAAUAUAAAUAACUACAUAUUUCAUUUUUAAUUUAAAAAUAUAAUAACCUAUAUAGAAUACAUUAUUACAUUAAUGUCAGACAUUUUGAUCAAAAAUUAAAAACUAUAAAGGUUUCAAUCAAAGAACAUUGAUAGUUAUCAACCGUAUCCAAAAGUCCCCGUAUAUGUAUAUGCAUGAAAUUAUACUAAUUAACCGAUGCAAUUAAUUUGAGUUUUGGUCACCAAUUCCAUAAAAAGAUAAUACAUUGACCCCAAAGAAAUAAAAAAGCCUCUGGAAAAAAAAUAAUAAAUAAGCCAAAGAUAAUGAUUAAUCAACCUCGAGUUGGUUGCCAAGUGAUAAAGAGCGAACUGGCUUCCUUCAAUCACUACAAAAAAUGUGUAGAGGUAUUAGAUUUGAAACUCACUGCUGGUGUGGAAGUCAGACUUGUGACCAAGGAAAUGUUGAAAUGUCUAUGUGAGUCUUUUCGGCCCCUGAAAAGAGUGAAUAACUGUGACUUGCCACUUGUUGUUCCCCAUUUAAAAAUUAAAAAUUAAAAAAAAAUUAAAAAAAAAGAGAAAAAAGAUAAUGAUGAAUCAGAAGUUGGGAAAGAAUCUUAUUCUUGAGUUCCACUGUACAAUAUAUACACACAUGCAACCCAGAAGGUAACCAUGUAGGUGCCCACUAACCAAUUCAUGAUGAUGUACAUCUAUAUGUUUAUUCUUAAUAUUCACAAUUCAAGCAACGAGCCCUGUGCCUCUGGGCUGGCCAAUUCCAGGAGAAAGUCGGUUGUGUAAAAUUUAGGAGGGAGGGCACGGCAUGCGGUGAAAUUUAAAAUUUUAAAAAUAUAGGAAUCCAAUUUCCAAAAAUCCCAAGUAAUUGAUUUUGGUUUUGCGUUUUCCAGUAGGGAAGCUUAGGCCUAAUAAUUCUUGACACGACUUGAUAACCCGACACGAUACGGCACGAAAUUAACAGGUGUUUGGGUCGACACGAUAGCGAAUCAGGUCAUUAUCGGGUAACCUGAUAAGCAUCUAUUAAGAUAACGGGUUGGUUCGAGUAUACACGUGAGUAACACGAUACACGAUAAGCAGAAUAUUAAUUUUAUAAUUUUAUAACCCUAAAAAAAUACUAUAAUAAUUAUAUAUAUUAAUUUAACAAUUUUAUACCCCUAAAAACUAUAAUAAAUAUAUAUAUUAAAUUAACUAUAAUAAUUAUAUAUAUAUAUAUUAAAUUUUAAAUUAAAUUUUAUACCACUAAAAACUAUAAUAAUUAUUAAUUAAUAUGCAUCCACCGUUCCACCCUUUGAAAAAGGGAGGGAAAAAUGAAAAUUAUAAGAAAAUGAAACAAAAAAGAGAGGGAAAGAUAGGAGUAAAAACUAUAAUAAUUAAUAUGCAUGUUGAUGCAUCUGCUCUUUGAAGAAAAAGGGAGGGAAAAAUGAAAAUUAUAAGAAAAUGAAAAAAGAGAGGGAAAGAUGGGACCUAGUGGUAUUUUGCUUGCUACUAGUAGUAAGGUAGUUUUUUCCACCGUAGUUCUCUCAUUCUCAAGUGUGCUGACACACCCCGACCGUAGGUUUUUCCACCGUUUUUCCACCGUAUUGUUAUUGAUAGGAUAAGAUCUGAUAGCUGUGUUGACACACCCCGACCGAGAUCAAAUGCUGGCCGUCACGUGAGAGUGACAUAGCCAUGUGCACAGUGCGGAAGCAAUAAAGAUAAGAAUUAUAUGAAUAAUUAAAAACCGAAAUACUAGAGUACACUACUAAACAGAAAGUGAUAGGAGUUAGUUACAAACGUAAACACUCCUAAUCAGAGCAGAAUAAGUCUAGGUGCAGUCCAGUAGGACAAGUACUAGUUAUACAGUACCAGGAAUAUCCUACUAUUAUUUAGAUAAGUCAGAACUGCCGACGUCCUCAAGCCACCAACAGCAAGCCUACUUAAAACCUGGGAGGGCGCAAAACGGAAAACGUGAGUGGGCAAAAACAAAUGUUUUACAAAAUCAUUUUCUUUAUCAACAUAAUAACCCCUCGCUAUAAAACAUAUAUAAAUUUUCCCAGAAUCAGAAUAUAAGCAUAUACAUAAUAUAUAUGAAAUCAUAUCAAUUCAAUUCAUGCUUCACAUAAUCAUAUUCAAAUAUAUGUCAUGCCAAGAUAUAACAGAGUAAGCAAUUCAGGUAAGAAUAAAUUCAUAGAAAUAUGAUAUGUUAGCCGGAACCCCUGUGGUAGUUUGUACAGCUGAAUUCAUAGCUCAAGCUACUCUAGCCGGAGUCACUACAAUGACCUAUACGGCAACAAACUGCACAUGAGUCGGAACCACUAAAAAGGGGUCUGUACGACAAAAUUGGGUGUAAUAUAAUUAUGCUCAAUUCUACUAUCUCAUAAUAGUUAGGCGAUAAAUCGCUAGUCACCUACAAGUCGGAACCAUAAGUAAGCUCUGUACGACAAGAUUGUGCACUUAAGUUGGAUCCAAUAUGAGCAUAUAGUGCGGGAGGUGACAUAAAUAAACAGGCAUGUACUUCAUAUCUCUAGUUAAAUCACAAUCACCCUAGGUGCAGUUUAUGAGCUCAACAUUAUUCAAUCACAUAUCACAUCAUCGAUGAUUAACAUAACCAAACAUAACUUACCUGAACUUACAUGGACCUCCAUAGCACCACAUUUAUAUAUAUAAGGUAUCACACACCAAGUCAUAUACGAAACAUAAUUGUAUAUGCCUUGCAUUUAUGGCAUAUUAUCAUUUAAACAUAUUUUUCUGGGAAAAUAUCAAGUAUAUAAAUAUAUACUGAAAACCAAAAGAUCACUCACUGGUAUGUCGACGGGUCGUAACCCCCAAGUCACCCGUGGAUACGCUCGUCCUCGGGAUAAGUCUCACCUAUAUGCGAAUUAACUAUAAAAACAUUAUUUUAAAGCACAUAUACAAAACUAGCUAAUAACUUCUCAUACAUUGUUCAAAAUGGGUAUAUGAAUAUACCAUGGUGAUAUACACAACCUCAGGAUCAUCCCCAAAUUUUUAGAUAAAUUUUUCGAGCUCCCACGCGCCGGCAAGGGCACGGCAAAACGCGCCCCCACGCGGCCAAACCUGACGCAUUCCCUAACCACCGUUAGGGAAUAUUCCGUUAAAGCCUAAUAGAUUCCAUUAAAACUGACUGACGGCGUCAACUUAUUCCAUCCAAACUGACGGAAUAUGCCGUCAUCUUCUCCGACUAGUCGCCGGUCAUCGGAAAACUGGGUAAAACUUUAAAAUCACUAUUCUCCUUCAAUUCUUCACCAUUUUUCAUGAAAUUGGUACCAAAAUGAAGCUAAUAACAUGUAGAAUCACGUUAUACAAGUUUCAAGGCUUAAAUUCUACUAGAUUUUACUUGAGAAACCUCGAUAAUCCGAUCAACUUUGAAAACCUUCGAUCUCGGCCCUCCGACGUCAAAACUCUUUCAACGAACUACCCCGAGCUUCCUUAGGACCUCCUAAAACUCCCUGUGAGAUUGAAAUCUUCUGAAACACAAGGUUUUACGUCCACAUGAAUAGUGCAUGAAAAAAUGAAUUUCGGGUUCACGAGUUUUCGAAGGAAUCCUUACCUAAAAUUGGUACCUUGAACUCGUAGGGUCCUCAUGAACACAAUGGUACCAUUUUCUUCCUUGAUCUGUGAGUUUUGAGAGGUCCUUGGUGUUGUCUGUACAAGAAGAAAGAGAGAGUAAGUGCGAGAGAGAUGAAAGCACAGGAAGGAAGGGAGAGGGAGUGGGUGUGGUGUGUGUGUGAUCCACGUGGUCACCAAUCCAAAACCACACAAUAAACUCUAAGUCUCAAUAUGUCACACAUACACGCUACAAUUUCCCUGUCCAAGGAUAAAACUGUCAUUUCACGUCAUCGAAAAUUAAUUAUUCGGGACGGGCUGUGACAUGUGUUCCUAACACAUGUAUGUCAUUUACCUCUCUCUCUCUCUCCUUUUUUUUCUUGAGAAAUUUUUCAUUGUAACGGGAACACAAAUUACACCAUGUGUUUUAAUAGAAGUGGUGAGAACUUUUAUUGUUUAAGUUAUUAACUUUUUAUCACACAUAUCCCACUAUUUUUAUAAUGACAUGUGAUGUACUACUCCAUGUACCGGUCAAUUAUACGUACAAAAUAAAUAGAUUUAAAUCAACAUAAUAAAUAUAUAUAUACACACACACACACCAUUGAACUUGAUGGGAUACGAAUUGUACGAAACUAAUUUCAACGAUCCAACUGUCAAACUUGUUUGUAUAUGCUUCGAUAUCGCAUCAGCAAAAAUUACAAAAAAAAAAACAUUCAGAGAUCAAGUAACCGAACAAAACUUUUUUAUGGGUAUAAAACGAAAAAUCACGAUUUAACGGUUAUUUUAACUCCGAUUUUGAUUAUUUUUUAUAUCUACACUCCUUAAUCCUAUAUGAAUACAAUGAAUGAAUUUGAUCUUCAAUUUAAAAUAUUUACAAUAGUGGAUACCACAAAAUCUUAUGUUAUACUUAAUGAAAGUAUAAAUAAACUCUAAGUGGUAGUGAAUCUACCGUUUUAAUGGGAUACGCAUCCUACGAAACUAGUUUCAACGAUCCAACCGUCAAACUUGUUUUUAUAUGCUUUGAGAUUGCAUACGCCAAAAUUUGAAAAAAAAAAAAACAUUCAGUGAUCAAGUAACGAGACAAAACCUUUCGACAGUUAUAAAAAGAAAAAUCACGAUUUAACGGUUAUUUUAACUCCGAUUUUGAUGAUUUUUUACAGCUACACUCCUUGACCCUGUAUGAAUAAUAUGAUUGAAUUCGAUCUUCAAUUUAAAAUAUUUACACUAGUGGAUACCACAAAAUCUUAUGUUAUACUUAAUGAAAGUAUGAAUAAACUCUUAAGUGUUAGUGAAUCUAUUGUUUUGAUGGGAUACGCAUUCUACAAAACUUGUUCAAUGAUCCAACCGUCAAACAUGUUUGUAUAUACUUCGAGAUCGCAGAUGCCAAAAAUUGAAAAAAAAACAAACAUUCAGAGAUCAAGUAACGGGACAAAACUUUUCGACGGUUAUAAAAAGAAAAAUCAUGAUUUAAUAGUUAUUUUAACUCUGAUUUUGAUGAUUUUUUACAGCUACACUCCUUGACCCUAUAUGAAUACAAUGAUUGAAUUCGAUCUUCAAUUUAAAAUAUCUACACUAGUGUAUGUUAUACUUAAUGUAAGUAUGAAUAAACUCUUAAGUGUUAGUGAAUCUAUUGUUUUGAUGAGAUACGCAUUCUACGAAACUAGUUACAAUAAUCCAACCGUCAAACAUGUUUGUAUAUACUUCGAGAUCGCAUAGGCCAAAAAUUGCAAAAAACAAACAUUCAAAGAUCAAGUAACAGGAUGAAACUUUUCGGUGGUUAUAAAACGAAAAAUCACGAUUUAACAGUUAUUUUAACUCCGAUUUUGAUGAUUUUUUACAGUUACACUCCUUGACCCCAUUGAAUACAAUGAAUAAAUUUGAUUUUCAAUUUAAAAUAUUUACACUAGUGGAUACCACAAAAUCUUAUGCUAUACUUAAUAAAAGUAUGAAUAAACUAUAAUAAUGGGAAGUGUUAUUAGCACUCUAAAAAAUGUCAUUUUACACUCCUCACAACUGUAUUUUUCUUUCCCAAUAUAGAAAGUUUGGAGUGUAGAAUGAAAUUUUUGCAGUGCUAAUAACAAUUCCCAUAAUAAUUAUACAUCCUUGAAGGCCAAAGUUGCAAUACAAUUUCCUCAUGAUGAUCGAUGUAAAUUGAGGAUUUUGUAAAGGAAUAACAUGCAAGCUUUGAGUUCCAUUGGUAAGGUUUAAACUUUUGAAAAAGGCUUCACAACCUUGAAAACAAAAACUCUUUCAUUUUGCAUAUCCUUGCACAUUUAAUAUUUGUAAUAGAUUAGUAGUGUAUGUAUUUUUUUUUUAUUAGGCUCUUAUUUUCGAGUGUAAAUAUAGUACUUAAACGACAAAUGUGUUUUAAUGUUUUGAAGUAAUAUUUAUGUGGCAAUGUGUGGUAUGUGCAAAUUUAAGAAAAGAAAUAUAUUUUUCUUAACGGGUCAUAACGGGUCAGGUCACUUUACCCCUGUUAAGGACCCGUUAAGAUAACAGGUGUGACACGACACGACCCAAUAAGAUAAUAGGUAUUACACGAAAACGACACGAACACGACAGACAUGACCCGUUUGCCAGGCCUAUGGAAGCUCAUCACGGUGGUCCACUCGAAAUGUCCUUUUUCUUCUUGACCUUCUUUGACCUUAUGAUGUAUGUUAGAUGCUACCCAAUUAUAUAUACAGGGAUACGAUCAAGGGACAAACAUUUUAACAAAUAUUUUUAUACUUUUUUAAAUCUUUAGAUUACAAAACAUCCAAACGUCCAUAUUCAUUCAUUAAAUGACAUGAAUGCUUAAGUGGAUUUUAACUAAUAUUAAACAUAAAAAUAAAAUUCAAAAAGCAUAAAAUAUGAAAGGUAAUUAAAAAUAAAAUUAAAAAGGAGAGAGGAAAAUAAAUCACACUUUAGAAAAGGAAAAAAAAAAGAAUUUUUUAAUGGAUUCCUUUAAACCUACAGAUGACUUUUAACAUGAAAGAUGGUUAUCCAUCCAAACCCAUCAUCUGCAGUAUUGCCUUCGGUGUUGCUUCCACAAUUGUAGACUGAAAGUAGUUCUUUUCUCAGAUUUUUUUUAAUAGAUUUGGUGUUUUACUCGAGAGUAUAGGUCUAGUUGAAGGGGAAUCACCAUAAGUAGUGGAAACAAAUGCAUUAAUUAACUCAUGGCUUUGUUGAAUUAUUUCUUGGCAAUCAAUCUUUUGCUCAUUCCUUUUUUGUUAUUUAUUAAGGUUCAUUUUUUAUAAAAUGAAAGAGGAGAAUUCAUCCAAGGCAUUGCAGGGAGGGAGAUGGAGGCUACAGUAUUUUCAUGUUUUUGUUUUUCUUAUUUUUUUUAUUUUUUUAUGCUAGGUUCAAAGUUUGAUUAUUGGUUUUUUCAAUUUUAUCCUAUUAGAUGGAGGCUACAGUGUUUUCUUUAUUUGUUACAAUCCACAUCAUCAUCCAAGUCAUUUAAUUUUAAAACUUUCCACAUCACUCUUAAUCUAGACCGUUGAAUGUUAUAAAAUCUAAAGGCUACAAGGAAGUGUAAAAAUGUUUGUCAAAUAUUUGUCCCUUGAAUGGAGAUUAGUUGUGGCGCUUACUCCAUGUCGUACUUUAACGAUUUGAUUAUUUUGUAAAUAUUGAUUUAUAAAUUUUUUUUGAAAAAAUUCAAUCCAAUUUGAAAUCAUUUGUGCAAUUAAUUAUCACGAUGAAAUAUGUCAAUUUCUCAAUUGGAUGCCUCAUUAUCUGGUUAGUGUUUUGCAAAGAUGAUCUAUGAGAUACAACUUGAAAAAUAAACGGUUCAAAUCGUUGAAGUUCGAUAUGGUGUGAACCCCAUAACUAUUCCCUUUUUAAAAGUAAAUUAAAACCCAUCCCACUUAAGGCUAUAUAUAUUCACGAGAGAGAGAGGGGAGGAGGAGAGAUAGGUGGUCCAGUCACCAGUGAUUGUAGUAUGUAUGAGAUUCCCAGAUUCCCAGCUAAUAGCAUUAUGAUAAUCCUCCCCGCUGCAGAAAACACUCUUGCUUUUCCUGUAUCCUACAUGCAUACAUUUCUUUCUUCAAGCCCCGAUCAGUCGUACAUUUGUUUGUGUCUUGUGUGACUCUUUGGGUUUACAACUUUUGAGAGAGAGAGAGAGAGAGAGAGAGAGAGAGAGAGAGAGAGAGAGAGAGAGAGAGAGAGUGAGAUAGAGAGAGUAGCUAGAUACAUACAAGGCAGAUGAGCCUAAACUUAUAUUCUCUUAACUCCUCCUCUAUACAUUCGUUCAUUGUAUAGCGCAGAUGGGAAAAUGAGCUCACUGAUCCACUAGCUAACUGUGCGCAUGCAGGACAAGGGAUAUUAUUAUUCUGAUCAUAUGGUCUAGGAAUUAGGAAAAUCUUAUGUAUAUAAUCGGAAAAUCUAGAGUACUCCACAUUAAUUAUUGAAGAAACAGCCACUUAAGAGUCUUUAGAUCCAAUUUAAUAACUAUCAAAGAAAAUUUAUCACGUAUCUAUUUUUUUAAGAAGAAGAUUACGAUAUUUCAUUCGUUGAUAAAAUGGCAUUACAAAAACAUAUCAUGAAGAACUGGAUUCCGAAAGGGUCCUUGCAAACUAUAUCUAAAAUUAUUACAAUAAAGCAUCACUAAUCGCAAAGCAAUGAGUAAACUUCAAGCACUUAUCCGAACUCAUCAAGAACCGCACAAUUGCACAGAUCAAUAAAAUUGUUAAACUUCAUGUUACAAGGAGAUCAUGUGAGAACAAAAUCUUCAACCAUAAAUUAGGAUAGGAAGUACGAUAUCUAUGGGUCGAUCGCAUCACCUAAUAACUGCCAUGAUCUCAUAACACCAAAUGAAGCAGAUCCAGCAAGUCAAACAGCUCCACUAUUCACACAGAGAUCCAAAAGAGGUAGCUAGCACACCAAAAUGAAAAUGAAAAUCAAGGUCAUGCACUCUCUUGUAGAAGCAAUCAAACUAGCAAACUCUUGUACAGAGAAAAAUCAAACCAAACUCUAAGACAAUUCCUGAAAAAGAUUAAAUUAUGUCACCACUCCACAUCCUUUGGACAUCAGAAAGUCAUAUUACUAAACCGGUUAAACCCAAAGUGUAGUAGUGACUAAACUCUAUCCCGAUGCAAUUGAACAACUUUUAUGGCUUCCUGCUUCAACCCUAUAUCGAAGGUGUUAACUGAAUCCAAAACCUUGUGUUAACUGUGUGUGUGGGCCAAAAGACGACGACGACUAUCACAGUGACUACAACGUUUCACGAUGACAAUUCAAUACCAAAUAAAGUAAACAGAAAGUGAAAGGGAAGAGAGAAAGAAUGAUUUUCAAGAAGACUGCCGACGAUCCCAAAGCCAAAGACAGAACCAACGGCAAAGAAUAUUUCCUUUGUUUUUUCGCUAAUGGUUAGGGUUAAAAAAAAACAAUCACAUAUCUAUUUAGUUAUAUUAUUUUUAGUUUUUUGGUUUCUUCAAAGUUUUUUCUAUUUUUUGGUUUCUUUUUUUCUUUUUUUUGGGUAUCUUUUCCUUAAUCUUAACUCAUUUGAUUUGUCGUCUUAAAGAAUCAAAGAAAUAAAAUCUCUAAUUGUCUUGAAACUGUAUGUUUUUUCUUUGUCGAAAAAGAGAAUUGAUAAUGGAUAACGUUAUACAAUCAAAUCGCCAAGACCACAACUAAAAAGUUAGGAAACCCUAAAUUUGUGUUAGAUUUAUGAACCAACGGUCUAAAUUAAAAUGUAAUUUUGUCCGAAUGGUUAGACAAACCGUAUGAUCUAUUCAACAGAAGCUAGCUAGAUUGGAAUAAUGGGAUUUAUCUGCAGGAUUAAAUAAAUAAAUAAAAAAGUUUCUUGUUGUUUAAAGAAUGUUUAAGCUUAGAAAUUAGAAAAUAAUCAUGUAACUUCAUGAAUCUCUUGUGAUAACAAAACGUAAGCGAAUUUAAAGACAAAACACAGAGAAAACAAAUUAAAAAAAAAACAAAUUAUUAUAGCUCCUUUUGGGGUUAUUAACCAGAGAUCAUGAGAAAUAUCCAUGAGACAAGCGUGGAACAAGAUGGAUGGAUUUUGGUGUCAUGUGUCACGACUCAUGAGAGUAACUCUGAUCUGAUCUGACGGGCAACAUUGUAACUAAGUAAUUGUAACUUCCAUGUUGUGUCAGGCUUCGACCUUCUUUUUAACCGGAUCCAGCUUCUAAUUUUACCGUAAUUUGGGCCAAAGCUUUUGCCACAGUUUGUUUUUUUCCAGUGCCGCUCGUUAUAUGUGUUAUGGUGAAAUUAUUAAAGUCUCAUGGAAAAUAAUACAUGUGACAACCAGUAAAAUGACAGAAGCGCCAUAAUUAUUUUCUCUGCAAAAGUAGAAGCAUCUCAUCUCAUCACAUACAUGGAGAAUAAAAACCCUAAAACAUCCACAUGAAGAAGAAGGGAGAAAAAGAUAAGAGUACCUCUUCUGAUCAGAAACAUCAGCCUCCAUACUUUGUAAAUUACAAUGCUGCCGCUGUGGAAUAUUAUUAUAAUUACCCAACAUGACCAUAAUACCCUAGCUAGCUAGUUCUAGCUAAAAUCUUUGGAAAUGAGAAAAAACAAAAGGCUUUGAAACUAUCUGCAAAAUUAAAGAGGAUGAAGAAAUAGAACAAGAUGAAGAGACACAGGCAUGGACAUGGGUUUUAUAUGCUUGGCUCCUCAUACGCCAUCCACAGAGGCCAUCGCUGUUCGGUGGGACUCUGCAAAUGGCAUACAGGGAGCCAGGCACAUAUUUAUACAUAUAUGCAUAUGUAUGCAUGCGUGAAUCAUGUUAGCUAGCUAAAAAUAUAUGCCACUAAUUAACAAAACCUACAUGGGUCAAUUGAUGAGGUAUUUCUUACAUAUCUACCGGCUAGGGUUUUUAGAAAAUAUUCAACUCUAAAACCUAAUCGAAUGCUAACCCAACAUCCUACCCGCCUUGAAUAUGAAUACCAUGCAUAUGUAUGCUAUAAAAAUGAGUUAUUUUGUAUGCGACAUGGGUUUUUGAGGAAGAGCAAAUUAUGCAUGGACUUGGAGUGAAAAAGAUUUUGUAGGGAAAGCUAGAUCGGAGAAGCUUUGCCAUGGCUAUAGAGGGUAAGACAAGGAGAGGUUGCAAUAGUGGGGGGAGAGAGAGAGAGAGAGGGUCAUAUAUUGAGGAGAGAGAAGGGUGGAGCGAAAAAUGGGAUAAUGAUGGGAACUGGGUCAUAAUCAAAAUGGAGUUUCAAAGCCCCACAGCCAUAGAGGAAGACCCAUUUGAAUUGGCAUAAAACAAGCAAACCAGAGGGUUAAACUUAGGGAUUUAAAGGGGUAUAGCCUAAUAUUUUGUGGGGUUUUCUUUUUCUUCUUUUCUUGUGUGUGUGGGAUUUUCAGAGUGAAAGGAGGAGAAUGUGGGGUUGGAGUUGUACCCCCAGCUAUUGCCCUCUAAAUAUAGGCACCAAGCCAACCAGGAGAGAGCAACAAAGAGAUGAGACCAAGAGAGAGAGAAAAUAUGGUUUGUUUGUGGGUUGGGUUAAUUAAUAACCACGCAAUUUCCUAAGCCAGGCCUUAUGCUGUUUGAAAUCUCCUUUUCUGGGUCGUAAAGCAAACUUUGCUUUUCUCUUCUCUGAAGCUCACUUUGUCCGGGAGUGCUUGGAAGACAUGGAUUCCUUCCAUCCCUCUCCCUACUUUCAUUUCCUUUUUAAAUAAAAAAAGAUAAAGUCACCUAAAAGAGAAAAAGGAAAGAAUACCAUAAUUUUACCAUCUUUUUCUUUUUGUACCAUCACCUCUUUAAUCUUUAUAUUCCUUUUUCCUUUUUCCUUUCUCCUUUUUCAUACCCUUCACACAUAUUUUAUUACUAAAUUUCAUUAUAUAACACUAUUUUGCUUCACCAACAGAGAUUUGUACUUAACCUCACCUUUUUUUAGAUAUUAAAAUUAGAAUAAUCCAUGACAUGUUGCUGGCUUUACUUAAUUCGACCUUUACUUCUGUCUAGCGUCCAUACAGGUUACAUCCCAAAUCACACUUUGAAGAACAAUAUUGGGCUAAAGGUUUUGAAGAAGUAUCCUUGUACCAAAAUUUAUGUUUAUGAUCAGAACUAUUCGUAUUAUAAAUUACAAUGUAAAAAUUAUCACAGUAAAAAAUUCGAUAAAAUAUAAUAUUGUUUAGUCACUAAACUGUAUAAAAAUAGAUGGUCGACACCGGUAAAAUAUUACGGGUAUUCUAUCUAUUUGCUACAAGUAAUUGAUUAAACAAUCAUACCUUUAAUUAAUCUUUUGCAUAAUAAUUUAUAAUACGAAUUAUUUUGAUUAUAAACACGAAAUUCUAUAAACCAAACAUUAACUACUUUAAGGAGAAUUUGCUACAUAAUCAUGUGGAGCCAAGUAGUGCUCCACUUAGAAUUACCCUUUUAAUAUUAUCUAUUUUAUAAUAUAAUAUAAUAUAAUGUACAUGUUAUAGAUAUAUAAAAUAAAUAAUUUGGAGCACAACCAUCAAUCUAUAUAUAGUCAAUCAAAGAGUAAUGCUCUGCUAAGGACCUAAAAAUGAGGUCAUGUGAAAAUCAUUUUAUUUAGGCUUUUUAGUCAAAAUAGUUUUUGAGAUUGGCAAAACUUCUCAUUUUCGUAGUUCAUAUUUGAGAAUCAAUAAAAGUGGUCUCUGAGUUUGUCUACCAUCAAUCAUUUUGAUAAUUCUAUGAAAAGUCUCUGUUAAACGAGGAUAAAAUGACAUAAAUACCUUUAAUUUUUGUCAAAUCAUUUUGGCUCAUUGUUUAUUAAUUGAGGGUAUUUUUGUUAUUUUGGUCCUAUUUAACAAAAUUUUCAUGAAAGUACCAAAAUGAUUGAUAUAGUAAACAAACUUAUGGACCACUUCUAUCUAUUUCAAAUCUCAUGCAUUAAAGUGAGGAUUUAUAUCAAUAUCAGAUAUCAUUUUGGCUAAAAAAGCCUUUGUUUUUUUAAGACUCUUAGAUUAAUCUAAGGGUAGAUAGAAUCAUGAAAUAAAUCUUUGAUUCAUAAAGUUGUUUCAUCCAAUGAGUUUUAUCCUGCAAUGGAAAAGUAAUUUGAUGUGUGCAACUUGUCCCGAAACCAUGCAUUUCGAUCCGACGGAUUCCACUAUAGCUUCCAUGGCCAACCCACUUCGACCUAAAGGAUUCAGGUGCUGCAAAAUUACACAAUUGUAUGGCGACCUAGAUGAGAAAACACGAAAAGAACAAUGUAUUAGAGUAGAAUGAGGGUAAAGUUUGGGAGAAAACUAACCUUGGAGAGGGCAUAAAUUUUGGGGAUGGGUUUGAUGUUUGACGCCUUCCAAGGCAUAUCCCUUGGCAGUGAAGAAACACUUCCACCUUUGCAGGACAUGCCCUUCUUUUGUUCGUAGACAAACUGUAGAGAUGUGGAGAGAGAGAGAAAUGUGAGUGUCUCUACGUCUGUGUGUGUGGAUUUCUGAGUUGGAUGAUGAAGAAGUUGAAUAUUAUACCGGAAAAACAUGUUUAUUGAUAGAUGAAAAUACCAACUACAAAUAGGUCCUUAUAUAUAGAAAGACUAAAGCAAACCCUAGACUAAAACCAUAAAAGAAAUCCUAGACAAACUCAAAUACUUAAUGGGCAAGUAACUAAUCCUUGGCCCUCAAGAUAACUAAUAACAAUCUAAAUUCAAUCUAAAUUCCAACACCCCCAGUCAAACUCAUGGCGGAACACAGACAUGAGUUUGCCAAAGUAGAUGUGGAUGCAAGACUCCAAAUUCCAGUGCUAAUGCCAAUGCCAAUGCCGAUGCCAACUUCAAACUACCAUGCCAAUGCUGAUGCCAACUUCAAACUACCAUGCCCAAUCAUCCUUCCUAGAAUCAGAUUCUGAAGCAGUUGCAAUAUGCAAAACAGAAGCUGCUGAGCCUGCAAGUGGUGAUUUUUGUGGAAAUUCAUGUUGCUGAGAUAACUUAGGACAUUGGGAUUUCCAAUGCCCUUUCCCUUUACAAUAAGAACACUCGUUCAUAGCAACCCUACUAGAUCUUGCUGCAGCCAAUGCUGAAGUGUUUGACAAAGAUGAAGAGAGCCUAUGCGACUACACACGGACUUCUUCGGCUUGUAACUCAUUAAGAACAUAAUCAACAGAUGGAAGAGGAGUUCGAUGAAGGAUAGAGCUACGAAGUGUCUUGAACUCAUCCCGAAGAGGCAUUAGAAACUGAAUAAGACGUUGUUCUUCUCUAUAUUGACAAUAGACCUUGACAAUGCCAAGUUCUUCAGGCUCAGUCAAUGCAAGUUGAUCCCAAAGAUUGGUCAGUUCAUUGUAAAAAACUUGAAUACUCUUAUCACCCUCCUAGAUUGCACGAAUCUCCAUUUCUAAUUGAUACCUCUUAGCAAAAUUGGCCUUGGUAUACAACUUUGCCAAGUGAUCCCAAACUUCCUUAGACUUUGAGAACUUAGCAAGUUGCAUUCCAAUAGUCAAAUCAACAGAAUUAUUAAUCCAAGUAAUGAUCUUUGAAUCAUUCAUCUCCCAUGUAGCAAACAAUUCAACAUGUUUCUCAUCUUUGGGGUUAUUUGGAAUAGAAAUCAUUCUAGAAACAUAGCCCCACAAACCUUUUCCAAUCAAAAAAUUCUUCAUCACAUACGCCCAAUACACAUAAUUAUUUCCAUUUAAUUUCACACCAAUAGCUUGUAAGGAAUCAUCCUUUGCAGAUGCCAUGACGACACUAAGGAACAAGAUACCUGAUAGCAAGCAGGCGACGAUGCAACGGUGCAGAUGCAGAAUCAAAGUGCGACUGAUGCAAAAUCAAAGUGGCUGCGAUGAUUGCAGCGAUCAAAGCAAGUACAAAUUCAAACCGGUGCAGGUAGGUUGCAGUCGGAGGGGUCCAUAUAGGUGCAGCGGUGCGGAGUGAUCUGGUGCGAUGGUGGGCUAGGCACGGUGGUUCCUGAGAUAGCGACCUUGCUCUGAUACCAAGUUGAAUAUUAUACCGGAAAAAACAUGUUUAUUGAUAGAUGAAAAUACCAACUACAAAGAGGUCCUUAUAUAGACAAAGACUAAAGAAAACCCUAGACUAAAACUCUAAAACAAAUCCUAGACAAACUCAAAUACUUAAUGGGCAAGUAACUAAUCCUUGGCCCGCAAGAUAACUAAUAACAAUCUAAAUUCAAUCUAAAUUCCAACAGAAGAUGAUGUUUACUUUUUCAUAUUGAGAUAGAAUUGAUUAGGCAAAACAAUUUUAUGAAUCAAAUCAUGAUUCUAUCUACACUUAGAUUAAUUUAAGGCCAUCUUCAACCGGAAAGAUUAAACACAGGCCCGUCUAGAAUUAUAACACUUCAAAAUUUUAUUUUUAAAUGAACAGUAUCAUGCCAUACUCUUUUAAUAUCUCUAAUUGAAGGGACUAAACAUAGCCCUUCAAUAACUUAUUAGUUUUAAGUUUAUACUUUAAAAUUAGGGAACUUUAAAAAAAAGCUCCCGGUACUGUUCACUUUAAUGAAAAACCACAUUUUUACACUAAAAAGUCAAUCCUGGUACUAUUCACUUUACCCUUUAUUUUGUCCUUAUCGUUAAAACUCAAAGUUUUCAAGCCAUUUUCAUUAGUUUUCCUUUAAAAUUAUUGGUUAAUUUAGUUAAACUACCAUUAAAGUUUUCAAAUCUAGCCUUUGAAUUUGAAUCAAUUAUUGCAACUGAGAAGCUGGGCCCCAAGAAAGAGCUAAGAUUAUAGCUUAAUCAUCGGUUGGAGAUGAGUUUUUGGCCAAAUCACACUAUUUUUUUAGUUUUUGGACCUUUAACUCUUUCUAUUGAAGAUGAUUGAGGGUCUUAUAUUAGACCAACUCCAACCAAAAGACCUAAACCCAAAAAUGUCACUCAAUGGUAAGACCUAAACCCAAAAACUUUGGGUUUUGACCCAAGUAAAAACCCAAAUUUGGGUUUCUAUUUGCCUAACCUAAAUUUUUUAAGGACCCACAUUUGUGUAAAGGGCAACAGGCAAUGGAUUUCUUGUAAUGGCCGGCAGUUGGGCUCUAGUUAGCAAGGAGCCCAGCUGCAUAACGGUAAAUUUUUAAGAGACUGAUGGUUGUUUGAUUUCUGGGCCAUUGGUGAUCAACAGUCCAAAUUAAAUGCCUUUUUGGGCAAUUUUUGAAUUUUGAUUUCACGAUUCGUAUUGUUUUUUUUUUCAAAUUCAAUGAUAUAAAAUAAAAAAGAUUCAAUGACUAAUGUGACGACCCGUCCCUAAUUUUCCAUGUAAUUUUCUUCUCGAGUGUGUGAAAUGACAAUUAUGCCCUUGUUGGCAAAGUGGAACCUAACGUAGACGUUGUUAUUCAGCUUUUAAUUUAUUUUUCUAUUAUUGUAGUUAAAUAGUACUCGUUGUUACGAAUGCAUGAGCAUGAGUUAGACCCGAAUCGGAUUUGUAACGAAGAAGUUACACUUAGUUAAAGAGCAUUAACAACAGAUAUUGUACACGUGACACUGUUUUUGAUAAGGUGACAUAGAUUUUGUGUACUUGUAAAUUGUACAAAAUAUGAAUCCCUUCUCUUUAAAAACCGGUCACGUGACCUUAUCUCACCCACCAAUCAGCUUUCCUCCUAACCUCUUACCCAAUCAGAAACCUUUUCCCUUGCCCAAUUAGAAGCUCCCCUCUCCCUCUCUCUUUCUUCUUCUCCUUCUCUCUCUCAUGCCAUGUCUCUCUUCCCUCUGCAACAACUAUGAACACUCAUCAAACAUCACGGAUCGGACUUCAAAUGACCACCAUUACUCAUCUCAUCCCCACGAGUCCAUUCGUACGAGGCGAUUAAAAAAUGAUCGAGUUUUGAGCUUCCAACUCGGACCUUCGACUCAGGUGUAUGUUCUUUGGCAACUUUCCAUCCGAGUUGCAAGGUUUUGGAAGGUCUAGAAGUAACUACACAACUCCCUGAGGUCCCUAGCCUAAGUUUGAAGUAGAGCCUACGUGUAAACAUGUGGCUUUAAAACGUUGGAAAUAAGGCCGAGACUUUCGAGGCAUUUUCAGUCCAUUUCCAUCCAAUUUUUGGACUUUUAAAAGGUACAAUCUUCUUCUUUUCUUCCCAAGCUUCAUUUUCAUAUAAAGUACAUAAAAAAUGGUUGAGAAAUGAGGAAGAUAUGAAGUUUUAAAGUUUUUACAAAAAUCCGGCCAAAAUUUUCCAAAAUCCAGCGAUGGUAACAACGGACAGCGACGAUGGUGACCAGAAAAUUGGAGAAGAAGGAGAAUAUUCCGUUAAAGUUGACGGAAUAUUCUCACGCCGUUAAUGUGAUGACCCGUCCCGAAUGUAUAGUUAUUUUACCCUCGAAAGCGUGGAAAUGUCGAUUUUACCAUUAAGCGUUGGGUUAUGAAUGUAUAAAUGGGCUAAGAAAUGGACCAAUUAUCUUAUGCCCUAUUUCUUUAGACCCGAUAAAAAUUUUGUAGGGUUGUUAGGACUAAAUUUGGUAGCCCAAUUGGAAUUUAAGUUGGUUUAUAUGUAUGCCCAAUCUGGACCAUCACACACACUCACACAUGCACACGUUGACUUCACUCUCUCUCUCUCUCUCUCUCUCUCUCUCUCUUUAUUAUUCACCAUCCGUACAAUUUGUACAGUCAUUCAUCCAACCACCCUUAAAACGUCGUAGAUCGAGUUAGACUAGGUUGUUUUUGGACUCCUUGCAAGCUCAGGAGUCGAACCAUACCUUUAGUUUGACGUGAGGACUUCGGAAACUCGAGAUACCCGAGCUCCGGCAAGGGAUGCAAAUUGCUUCGUGGUGAUCGCGAGUGUUUCGUGGACUUUUAAAGUUCUAGGAGGUUUUAAAACUACUUCACGAAGCUUGUAGAUGAAUUUUGGAAGGUUUUGGACAUCAGGACACUCGAGUUCAUCGAGUUGCAGGUGUGGCCGAACUAUCGAGACUUUUUCCGGCCAGUUUCCAUUGGUUUUAGGACUAAAAGUGGUAAGACUUUGUUCUCCUUGUCCAGAGCUUCAUUUUGGUACAAAUUUCAUGGAAUUUGGUUCAGAAAUGAAUGAGACAUUAAGGUUCAAAAGUUUUUCCAGAAACCAACGAAUGCAGCGGUGGCCGGCGCCGAACUCCGGUGAACCAAGGAGGGAGAAGGAGAAUAUUCCGUCAAUUUUGACGGAAUAUGCUAAUGGCAUCAAGUAAAAUAAACGGAAUAUGCUGUUAUUUAACGAAAUAUUCCCUAACGCCGUUAGGAAAUUCGUCAGUGUGCCAGGCACUUGGGAACUUAGAAAAUUUUUCUAAAAAUAUGAAGAUGUUCGUGAGGUUGAGUACGCCACGAUGGUAUAUUCAAAUACACCAAUUGAGCAACAAAUGAGAAGUUCUUCCUAGUUUUGGUUAUGUGCUUAAAAUUAAUGUUAAAAUAAUUGUUUCCCAUAUAGGUAAGACGUUUAUGGAGGACGAACGCAAUCAUGCUAGACACGGGGGUUACGACCCUGCCACAUACCAAUGAGUGGGCUUUUGGUUUUUAAUAUAUGUAUAUAUACAUUACGUUUUUCCCAGAAAAGUUUAUUUAAAUGAUUUUGCGUUUUUAUGCCAUGUCAAAUGCUUUAUAUUUUAGAAUAUGCAUUAGUAGUUAUGUAUGUUAGUAUUUGACGUUGCGGACACUCAACUAAGUUCUAGGUAAGUAUAUGUGUUAUUGAUUGUGAGUUGCAUUAUGAUGGUUAGAUAUAAAUGCAUUUAGAGCUCAUAAACCUGCACCCCGGUGUUAGUGUUCUCGCCCGUAGCCAGAGCACAAUCAUUCACGUGAUGUUCACCUCCCGCAUCGCACACUUACCUUGGAUCCAAGUUUGGUGCAUAACUUUGUCGUAUAGACCACAAUAGGUGGUUCCAACUCAUAGGUGACCCACGAUUUAUCGCACAGCCUUCACGUGGUCGUAGCACUUAAGCAUAAUUAUUACACCUAGCCCUGUCGUACAAACCACAUUAGGUGGUUCUGACUCGUGUGCAGGCAUACUUGACGAGCUAUAGGUUCAGCCGUACAGGCCACAAUAGGUGGAUCCGGCUGACAUAUCACUUUUCAUUGAUUUACUUCACAUGGUUUACAUAUUCAUUAUGCUGAGAUAUUUGACAUGGCAUACAUGUGGAUUUUGGUAUUUCAAGUAUGGUUUCAAUAUAUGUAUUUAUUUUAUUUUCUGGGAAAUUAUACGGGUUUUAUGGUAAGGGGUUAUUAUUAUUUUUGGAAAAGAGAAAUGAGUUUGAAAAGCUUUAUUUUUGCCCACUCACACUUUUUGUUUUGCGCCCCUCCAGAUUCUAGGUAGGCUUGCUUAUUGGUGGCUUACAAGGAGUUAGCGGCGGUUUUGACAGACUAUAAUCAAUGUAGGAUCAUAUCUCUAGUAUUGUAUAAUUAGUACUUGACCUGCUGGACUACACUUAGGUUACCUACGCUCUGAAUAAGUGUAACUAUACCUAAAUAUUUUCACUCACACUUACAUAUUUGUUUAGUGUAAAUUAGUUAGUUUGGUUUUUAUUUACUCACAUUUUAUAUCAUUAUCACUUCCGCACUGUGCACAUGGCUACGUCACCCUCACGUGACGGCCAGCAUACCUUGAUUUAGGUCGAGGUGCGUCAGUUAAGGUAACUUUGUUAGACUUAACGAAAUAUUCUGUCAAAUCUAACGAAAUAUUCCACUGGGAUCUGUCAACGCAUGCAGCGCAUGAAGGCACGUACGGUUUCAUGGCAACACGUGGUCGACGUGUAUGGGUCCGUGACGUCGCGUAAAAUGUUUUCGUAUAUUUAAAACCUUUGUUUAAGCAAACUAUGGGGAAUUUUCCUAGCCUUUUAGUGUAUUCCUAAUUAAUUAAUUACUAUAGUUGUUUCACAUGUAUGAGAGAAUUAUCCCGAGGAGGUACGAGGUCAAGCAAGGCUAGGAGGCUACGAUCCGACUACGUAUCAGUGAGCAGGCAUUUGUUUCUAUAUAUAUUAUAUAUAUAAAGUUUUAUAUUUUCCACAAAUGCUUUUGGAUUAAUAUUAUGCUUAUAAUGCCAUGUUUUUAUUUCAUCUUAAAAGUGCUAUUACAUUGUUAAGAUUUAUAAAUUGUCAUGGCAUGUUCAUAUACAUUUUACCUGCUCAUCAUGCAUGCUUGCAUCGGUGUAGUACUCGCCCCGGGCCAGGGCCAGGCUACACGUGUAUGUUCACAUCGCACCACAUGUUUACUUUAGAUCCAUUGUAGGUGCCAAUCAUGUCCUAGGUUGCAAUAGGCAACUAGAACUCGUAUGUGAUGCGCCUAGCGCCAGUCUUCACGUAAUUGUAGUAUUAUAACGUAUUAUUAUUACACCCAGUCUUGUUCAUGUCUAAAUUCCUCUGCAUGAACUCGUGUGUUAGCAUAGAUUGAUGAGCACUUGAUUUUCUUAUGCCACGGUUGAGAUAUUAUGAUUUGUGUGUUUCUUUAAGUAUUGUUGUAUUACCUUUGAUUUCAUACCUAUACGUAGUAUGAUUUUAUGGAAACUAUACAUGUUUUACAGCGAGGGGUUAAUAUGUUCAUAAUAUAAAUGUGUAUAAUAAAUGGUACGAGUCCUUAUCUCAUUAGCUGCAAAUUUGAAUUGGCCAUUGAAAUAGUUUGAUGUAAAAAAUGCGUUUCUUCAUGGACAUCUAGAGUAAGAAGUAUAUAUGGAUUUUCCUCCGGGAAAUAGUAACGGAGGAAAAUCGGGAGUGUGCCAAUUGCAGAAGUCACUUUAUAGGCUUAAGCAGUCACCUCGUGCAUGGUUUGAGAGAUUCACUCAAGCCAUGAGAAAGAAUGGGUAUUAUCAGAGUCAGUCUGAUCAUACCCUAUUUGUGAAGCGGAGAAACAGUAAAGUAACAACCUUGAUUAUUUAUGUGGAUGAUAUGAUAAUAACAGGUGAUGAUUCAGAUGAGAUUGUCUAACUAGAGAAGAACCUUUCUACCGAGUUUAAGAUGAAGAGUCUAGGUGACUUAAAGUUUUUUCUUGGAGUUAAAGUUGCUCGUUCAUCCAAAGGUAUUUUCUUGUCUCAACGAAAAUAUGUUCUGGUUGAAGGAAACAGGUAUGCUUGGGUGUAAACCCGUGGAUACUCCCAUUGUGGAGAAACAUUACUUGGGGAUUUAUCAGGAUCAAGAACCAAUAGAUAAAGGCAUAUAUUAGAGGCUGGUAGGAAGACUAAUUUAUUUAGCUCAUACCCUUCUGAAUAUAGCCUAUGCAAUAAGUGUGGUAAGGUUAGUUCAUGCACUCACCAUGUGUGGAUCAUAUGGGAGUUGUUAUGCGGAUUUUAGCUUAUUUGAAGUCAGCUUUGAGAAAGGAAUUUUGUAUAAAAAUUUUGGUCAUCCGAAGAUCGAAGGAUUUACUGACGCUGAUGGGGCAAGUGAUGUGACUGAUAGGCGCUCUACUUCUAGAUACUUUACGCUUGUUGGUGUAAAUUUAUUUACUUGGAGGAGCAAGAAACAAAAUCUGAUGUCUAGGUCUUCAGCUGAUGCCAAAUUCAGAGGUAUGGCGCAUAGAGUAUGUGAAGUUCUUUGGUUGCGUAAGUUGCUCUGGGGUCUAGGUUUCAAACCAAAGGAGGCCACAGAUUUGUAUUGUGAUAAUAAGUCCACACGUGAGAUUGCAGAGAACCCGGUACAACAUGACAGAACAAAGCACGUGGAGGUUGAUCAUCAAUUCAUUAAGGAAAAGCUUGAGAAGAAGAUUGUAUCAAUACCGUUUGUGAACUCAGGCGAGCAACUUGCGGAUAUCCUCACUCAUGUUCUGUGUAGUAGGUCUUUUGGUGACUCACUUGUCAAGUUGGGCAUGUGCGAUAUCUAUGCUCCAACUUGAGGGGGAGUAUUGUCGUGAGUAAUAUUAAAAAGGGGAUGUAAAUAUAUUAUAAAUAUUGGGAGUCCUUUAUUAGGAAGGAUAUAUGUUUGUGUCCUUUAUUGUUUAUUGUUUCCUUAUGGAACAAUGAUUGUAUCUUGUAUAUAUUUUUAGUUAUGUAAUACAAUGAGAAUUAAGCCGUAAAAUUCUAUUAAAACAUCUGGGUAUUUCUUUAUUGUUGGUGUUGGGUGAGUUGCUACAAUAGGAAAUAAAAAAGUUGCUGGCAAUUGAAUUGGUAGACGAAGAUUAGAGAAGCAAUUUAAUUAGGUUUUUAAAAUUUAAAAUAACUACAAAAUAUCUUUUAUAAUAUAAAAAUGGGUAAAUUACAUAAAACUACCUCAACUAUUGGAUCAUUAACAAUUUCAUACCUCAUCUUUAAAAAGUUUCAAUGUCAUACCUUAUCUUCGAAUUUGUUGCAAUGUCAUACCUUCUAUCAGUUGUUUGUCAAUUCCUCUGUUAAAUGCUAACGUGGCUUGAGACGGGCCCACUUUCUAUUAAAAAUUAUUAAAAUAAUAAUUUACCAUUAUAAAAUUAUAAAAUUAUAAAAAGUAAAAAAAACCCAGAUCCCGUCUUCCUCAACCCCCAUUUCCUUGCAUCCAUCCUCUCGUCUUCCCGAAACCCACCCUUGCACCCAUCAUCCACCUCCACCUCCACCUUCGUCCCCUCCCUCAACCCCCUUCCCUCCGUCGAUCUGCACCCAGAUGCGCAAAACGGCCACGUCGACUCGAACGCAGACUGGGAACCGGAAUGCAGUCCGCGUCCAAAUUUUGGCGCCGGAGCGUGGAGCUUCGGAACUACCGCCGCAAUCUUGAGGAGUUUAGGUCUCUGGAAAUCGAUGGCGGACGUGAAGCUGCUAAUGCAGCUGGGGUGCUACACGUCCAGGUGCAUAUCGUUGGAGGGAAAUGGGUAGUCGGAGUCGGAGGUGGAGGAUGUGGAGGAUGGGUGCCAAGGGUGCGAGGGUGGGUGUGGAAGAGGAGGUGGAGGAUGGAUGCGCAGUGGGUUUGGGGAAGACCGGAGGAUGGGUGCAAGGAAGGGGGGUCGGGGAAGAUGGCACCUGGGUUUUUUUUUUUUUUUAAUGGUAAAUUAUUAUUUUUUUAAUUUUUUAUUAAUUUUUAAUAGAAAGUGGGCCUUGCCUCAAGCCACAUCAACAUUUAAUAGAGGAAUUGACAGACAACUGCAGAAGGUAUGACAUUGAAACUUUUUAAAAGCAAGGUAUGAAACUGUUAAUGACCCAAUAGUUGAGGUAAUCCAACUCAGUCUAAGCCAAGCCAAUCCAACUUAGUACUGCUUAGUCUAAAGCCAAGCCGGUCCAACUUCGUCCCUGAAGUUAAUCUAGUCCGAGAUAAUCCAGUGCAACAAACGCACCUUAAAUAUACUCCUUAUUAAGUCAUGAACUAGCUUUUGCUACCGUACCAAAUUAAAUUGUGUUGUACUUAAUACAAGCACAAUAUCAAUGUAGUGAAUGUCAUCCUUAAGCCCAAUUUUAAUUGUACCGUGCCCUUCCCAUCCCCUCCUAUUUGUGCGGUCACGAUUAAGCUACGUCAACAUUUUAUAUUGAUUUUUUAAUAGAGAUAAUAAGUCUAAAAGCAAUAAGAAUAUAAAAUGUUAACGUGGCUUAACCGUGAUCACAUAAAUAGAAAGGGAUGGGAAUGUGACGAUAACAGGAGGGCAAACAAUCUGCCUCCAUUUUAAUUAUCUUUAAAGACCCUUAAACAUAAUAUUAUCAAUAUGAACAAUGUCUAACACGUUUCAUCCAAUCACAAACCUUGCUGCAUCCAUAUUGAAUUAGCAUCAUGCCACAAUAUCUUCACAUACAAAACCAUGAUAUUGUCUUUGAUUAUAUCGUUGAUUAAUAAAAUAUAACGUUAGGCCUAUUAUUUGAUAAAUUCAAUAAAAGAAAACUACAAUUUGGCUUAUGUCCAAUUCAGGCUACAACUAUCGCAAAAUUAUAAAUUUAAGGGUACGUUUAUUGCACCAGACUGUCUCGGACUGGACUAGCCUCAGGGACUAAGUUGGACUAGCUUAGACUAGAUUAAGUUGGACUAGAUUAGUGAAGCGUUUAGUGCAGUGUCAGACUAACAAGCAGAAUAAUUAACAAACUCUAAUAUUAUAUUUUUUAAUUCAUAAUUAUUAAUAUUUUAUUUUAUCCUUUUUUUUAUCCCUUUAUUCCUCCCUUACCGUCCCAUUCUGUCCCUAUUUUUCUCCCUCUUUUUCUCCCUUUUCCGUUCCAAUCUUUUCCUCCCCAGAUUAAACCUCUCGAUUCCAGACUCUCUUUCCUCCCUCCUUCUCGAUUUCAAUCUCUCUCUCUCUCUCUCUCUCUCUCUCUCUCUCUCUCUCUCUCUCUCUCUCUCUCUCUCUCUCUCUCUCGCUUUGCACUAGUCGAAUGGAACCCUCACGACUUCAUUUAUUUUUUCAAUGAGUUGCAGGUUUCCCAACGAGUUUUCCAACUAAACCUCGCCGGAUUAGAUGAGGUUUGCACCACUAACAAACUCUUCCCCAUCUCUGGUCCCAUAUCCAAGCUUUGCAUGCUCGAAUCUGUCAUGGAUUCGAUAAAACCCAAACCGGACGAGACUUCCAGGCUAUUUUUCGGCCACCUACAACCACCUUUUGGCCUCGAUUCAAGUAGAAUCGUAAUCCCCUCAUUCCCAUCUUCAAUUUUGUAUUUUAUAUGAAAAUUGGUUGUGAAAAGCAUCUAAUCCAAUGGUUUUCGAGGGUGAGUGGUCGAGGAGCAAGGUGAGGAGGAGAGAGGGGACAGUCUUAGCUAGUCCCAUGGUUUUCGAGGGGUCUCACGAAGACCAGCUAGUCCCUGAUUUAGUAUAGGCGAGUGAGACUUAGUCUCAUUAAACCUAGUCCCUGUCGGGAACAAACAUGGGAUUGGACUAACCCUUAGUCCAGUCCAAUUCUGUACACUUUAGUGAGGGCAAACAAACGCCCUUAAAAGUAUAAACAAUUGGCUUAUUAGCUAAUGAUAAUAUGUUUAUAUAUAUAUUUGAGUUAGAGUCUGGGAACACACGUUUUUGAAGUAUAUAUAUUAAGUAUAUUAUAUCUUUGUGCCGACCUUUUCAACUAGACAUUUGGAUUUGAUUUUGAUGGAAAAUAACAAAGUCUUAUAUAUUUCACUCUUUUCUUGCUUCACCGCCUCAUUUGUACAAGACCAAAGCCAAAAUUACCAAUCAUAUUGUAACCUUAUGCGAUUUUUCUACGAAUAGUCAACAUCAAACGAGAAUCUCUUCACCAACAGAAUAAAUUUUAGUUUGACAUAUAGAAGCAGGGGUUUGUCAGAAUAUGUUGUCUUUCUUUUGUAUUUGAAGUAUUUCUAUCUUAUGACCGUUACUGAUUUUAUUUCGUUAUACAGUGAAAUCAUCAUUAGGAUUAGUUUCGCCUUGAUAGAGAUCCGCUUGAAAGCACCCCUUUUAUUAUGAUGAUAGGGGCGGAUGGUAGGGCUAGAAUAAGCAUAAUUGUUGGAACGCCUAGAAGUGAGACAUUAAUUAACAAGAAAAAUAAAUUGAAUUGAACAUCCUAAUAUUAUGUGUAAUUCCAGUCGUGGAUAUGCUAUCUUUAAAUUAGUGUCUUAUUCAUGUCUCCUCUCUUAUUUUUCAAUUCUUGUCACAUUACUCAACUCCAACUUAAUUCCUUUUUAAGUUUUAAUGAAUUAAAAGCAAAAUACUAAGAAACGAAAAACAAAGGCCAAAGUCCCACAAAUCCACGGCCGACAGCCAGCCACCCUUACGCCUCAGUCAUAGUCAAUUAAAGCACAAUAAUAUAAACCAAUGAUCCUUGUUGUAGAUCUGAAUCUUGAGUCAAAAGAGUAAAAACUUCGAGGGCAGGCCGACGCUGAGUUAGCGUGGGGUGGCAGGCAUACACCGUUUAGUGGGAGAGGGGGUUGUCGCCGAUGGUGUGGGGUUGGCUGGCGUCGGUGGUUGUCGGGCUUGGGUGGGUGGUACUUUGGUGAGUAUUGGUUUCUUUGUUUUUUCAUUUUCUCUUUGCCCAACAAAAAAUUAACGUUGUUAAAGUAGGAGUUAAAUAAUAUGACACGUGUUGAAAAAAUUAGAAAGGAGAUAUGAAGGGGACCCUAUUUUGACGAUACUAGACCUGUAGCCGUGGAUAUAGCCACCUUUAUAUUACAAAUCAUGCAUUAAUUUCGACCAGUAAUCUCUUAAAACAAAUUGCUCAUUCGUGAAAUAUAAAGUGGGAAUUUAUAGUUCUCCUGACAUUUAUUUUAUACUUUUGACAGGAGUUUAGUUUUCGUUUUCCUUCUUAAACUCGGUCGUGGAUCAGUUGUCCCCGUUUUAAUAUCUCUUACAUGUCUCCUUUUAAUUGCUUAACAAGUGUUCAUUCAUUUACCAAAUAAUUAACACUGUUAACUUUUAGUAUAUAUAACAUAAAAGGUUUUUAUCGGCAUGUUCAUCGGAGAAGCUCGACCCAAGGCUUAGGAAGAGGGCAUUGUCACGUUAUCUAGCACGAUGCUAAAAUCCCCUAGCGCGGCGAAUCAAGCUUGAAUAGGUGGAGACUCGGUAUUAAUUAUGGGUUAUGAUAUCCACACACUUUUUUAAUUUUCGACCGUCAGAUCGGAUGAAUUGAAGAAAAUCAACGAACAGAAUUAUCAAGGGAUGUAUGAGAAGUAAAAUGGAGUGUGUGGAUAGUACAUCCCUUAAUUAUUUGGUUACAUCACGUUGUAACACCAUUAAGUGUUAAGGUAGGGAGCCUAAAUAACGAUAAUGGGUGAUUCCAUGACGUCUACUUAUAAAAACUUACACGUCUAUACUCUAACAGGACGUUCAUGGUGUAAAAAUUAACAUUGAUAGUGUAAUAAAAAAUAAUAUUCUAUAAUCUUGUUAUUAUUAUAUAAUGCGCCCAAUAAACUUUGACGACUAUAGUAUAACUUUGUUAUAGUGAAAAGUAUCAACAUUUUUUUAGAGAGUAGCCUAGAAUUUCUGUUAAUUAACUACUAUAUACACAGGUUAAGUAGUCAAGAAAUUAAAAUCUUUGGUUUUCUUGGGCAAACAUGCGCAAUGAAAGCAGAUAUCUAUCAGGAAUCCUCUUCGUAUUGGAGUGGGUUCUUUCCCAUUCAAAUACUUCGGUGUUCUCAUGUUCCAAGGCCGGCUAAUGCGAAGUUACUUUCAGGACAUUGCGAAUUAAGUAAAAUAUAAACUCUCCGUUCGGAAAGGUCUUAUGCUUUCUCAAGUGGGUCGCUUACAGCUUAUUACGUUUGUCAUCCCAAGCAGUGUAAUUUACAGUUUUCAAUUGUACACUUGACCUCGUCUUCUUUUAGAUCAAGUCAAAACGUUAGAUAAGAAAUUUUUUGUGGUUAGGUGAUCCGGACUCUUGUGGUACUCUUUUAAUUUCUUGGCAUAUUUGUUAUCACCUAAACAUCUUGGUGACCUAGAGUUGAAGGAUUUGGCAGUUCUAUUUCGUUCUUUGUUUUUAAAGUGUUGAUGAGAUAAGGUGGAUUCUUCCUCUCUACGUGCUCGCUUCUUUCACACAGGUUCGGUUCCUCUUUUUCCACUUAUAAAAAAUCUUCGUGUGAGUGGGUUUUAAAAAGGUUCUCCCUAUUAUCUCUUCUCAUUCAACUUGGAUUGUGGGUCAUAGUUCUCAAGAUUCUUUUUGGUCUGAUAAUUGGUUGGGCAGACCUUUGUUUCCUAUCUUGACAUCUCUAAUGCUCUUGCUCAUAUGAUUAGAGCACGAGUGAGAGACUUUAUAUGUGGUUCUUAUUGGGAAUUACUGCCGAAUUUCACUACUAAUUUUCCUGAAGUUGCUAAUUUAAUUACAACUACUCAUUUUCCAUUGCAGGCAUCUUCAGACUUUUUAUGAUGUCUAGCUCUCUCGCUAGUAUUCUUACUGCCAAACUGGCUUAUUCUUACUUACUCUACUUUGAUAUCCAUGUGCCUCGGAAAGUCUAACAGGGUUGUCUCCCUCACUAAUAAAGGGCUCCCACAUAUACAAGUUUCGAUGGUUUCUCGUUGCCAUUUUGUAAUUCAGUUGUUGAGUCUCUCUGUCACAUUUUUUUAGAAUGUUCUUGGACUAUGGGUCUUUGGUCUUGGUUGUUGGAGCUUUUGCGCCAUCCCUAUUUAGUGAUACAAUCUGUAUUACAAGUUUUUCCAUAAACUUUUCUUGCACUUUUUCUGGUUUUAUUCGAAACUUCGGAUUAUAGUGACUUGUACUUUUUAUGGGGUACUGGGUUUCUUUGUAAUCAAAUUCGAUUUGAGGGCAAGUCUGCUUCCCUAAGUUAUGCGAGGUGCUAGCUAGUGGCUUGAUUUCGUGACUCGACGCUAGUUUGUUUUCAAGUGUUUGCUCCUCAUCUUCAGUGUUGCCUAUUUUUUUCAAUAUUGGGUAUCUCGCCGCUUUCUAUUGUGGCUCCAUCCCUUAUUCCAGUUAUUUAGAAGUUGUUAAUGGUUGCUUGGCUCAAGGUUAACAUCAAUGGGUCUUGUACUGACGCAUGUGCUGUAUUUGGGAGGAUUUUUCGCUCAUCGGAGGGUGGUCAAACACAAAAUUUAUAAGUUCAGUUACUGCGUAAAUUUUUGCUUUCAUUGAGGCCAUGCAUAUAGCUUGGGUCAGAGAUUGGAAACAUAUAUGGAUUGAAACAAACUCCAUGUUGGUUAUUCACUAUCUUUUUAAGGCUCCUAAUGUGGUCUCUUGGCUUCUGAUGGUGGAUUAGAAGAAUUGUCUCUGUCCACUUCGUUGCAUGUGAUUUAUGUGUAACAUAUUUAUAGAGAAGGAAAUCAUGUUGCAUAUACUUUAGCUUCAUUUGAGGCAGAUAGUUAUGCUAAUUACUGGUGGUCUAUGGUUCUAGAUUUUGUAGCAUUUGUCCAUGCUCGUGACAUUUCGUGUUGUCCUUAUUAUCGUUUUCGUUAAACGUUUUUCCUUUGGGGUCUUGGCAUAGUCUCCCUGCUUGUAUUUUUUUCAUUUACUUUCAUUAUUAUCAAUAAAUUUGGUGGAGGGAUGGACGUAGGAUUUUUGGGUGUAAUGAUCAUUUCCCUUUUGGAGGAGGAUAAGUGCCUCGCACACAACCAUUGCCGGAGAAUUAAUCUCGCUUAAUCUUUCUCUAUUUAAAAAUAAAAUAAAAUAAAUAAAUUCACUGAAAUUAUAUACCUAUCAAUUACAAAUUUGAAAUGCAAGAAACAAGAAUUGGAAGUGCAAAUACUAAGCAUUGGCUAACCAAUGUAUAUAUAAUGAAAUAUAGGACAGUAGCAGAAAAGUAAUUAUCAACACAGAAGUCCAAGAGAGCUUUGUAUGAACCUGGAUUGUCUUACCUCCCCUCCCAUACCCUUCUUAUCAUCUUUUAUUUAUGUGGUCACGGUUAAAUUACGUCAAUAUUUUAUAUUAAUUUUUUUAUAAAAAUAAUAAGAAAAAAGCAAUAAAAAUAUAAAAUAUUGAAUGACUUAACCGUGACUACAUAAAUAAAAAAUAAUGAGAAGGAUAUAGAAUGGAGAAGGGCAGACAAUCCAGGUCUGGCUUGUAUGUUGUCCACAAGUAGACGAACAAAACAAUGACGCGACCUUUCAGAAGGACCAAGCGUUGAAGGGAUCAUGAUAGGAUGGCCCGUAAUUUGAUUACCUGAUAUUACCAUGCAUUGAUGUGGACUGUAGACAACCAUCAUGAACAUGACCACGAAUAAGACCGUGCUUUUCAAGAAAAUAUUUUCUUGUUCUCUUCUAUAACUUUUUAAGGGUUAUUAAUUAAUAGUGGCUGUCACAAAAAGAACGAAAGAACCAUUACAAUAUAAAGAAAUGAGAAUAUGAAGAAUUCGAUAUGCGAUAUAAAAAAAUGAACUUUAACGAAAAAUUUCAGGUACUGUUUAUUUUAACGAAAAAUUAUAUUUUUACACUAAAAAGUCAAUCCUGAUACUAUUUACGUUACACUUUAUUUUAUUCUUAUCGUUAAAACUCAAAGUUUUCAAGUCAUUUUCAUUAGUUUUCCUUAUAAAAAAAACCUUCAUGUUAAUUUUAUAUCUUGAUUUUUCAUGUACAGGAAGGUAUGAGAUACCCACAAGUGAGAAUCACGUAAAAGAGAAUCAUAUUCAAUCGUUUCAAAUCCUUAAUUGUUAGUAAACACAAGAAUUAAAUCACACACUUGACUUAUAAGAGUAAUGUUAGAGAGAUUAAAUUUUUAGAUAAUAUUUAGUAUACUAAAUGACUUGGAAGUUAGUAAUUAAAUUAUUAUUUAAACGUCGAUAAACGUAUUUAUUUUCUAUUUAUGACAUAUAAUUUAGUUUGCAAAUUUUGAAAUAAGAAAAUGAUGAAUAUAUGUGGAAAGAAAUCAUGAACUAAACUUUAACUUGUAGCAAACUCAUUGGCUAUUUCAUGGAUACUUUUUUCUAGAAAACUCGAUUGGUCCAUGGAAAAGUUCUAGUCAUCGAAAUAUUCUUCUAGCUAGGGUAACAUUACAUAACUAGGCUUUAAAUAUUAUAUUUGGUAAUGUUGACCUAAUAGAAAAAAUAUAUAUAUAUAUACAUAUAUAUAUAUAUAUGUAUAUAUGGCUUACACAAAAUCUUUGUAAACGAAGACAGUGUUCUCAUGGCUAGUGACAAAUUGUUGUUUUGAAACAAAGAUAUGCUCUCCUUUAGAAACAGAAAGAACAAAGAUAAAACCCUUAUUAUUUCUCACUAAGUAUGUAGAACGUUCACUGGGAUUUGUUGGCUUGAAAAUCAUGAGAAACCCAUUAGGCUGUAGAUAAAAGGCGACACGAAUUAGGGCAUUCACAUACAAAAGCAUAUGUCCAUCCACCUUCAAGGCAUAAUUUCAUAAGUAAGAACACAUAUAAGAGACGGGUCUUGCGAAACGUACGUGUUCAAACGAGAGGAUGAUCGGUCAUAUAUAUUCUACUGAAAAUAUAACUUUAGCCUUUGAAAUUUAAUUUUUUUCAACAUAAAAUCCGACAUAAGUUUUUGACUCGAAUAAAACUCAUUGACUAGAUUCUACAUCAACAAAUUCAUUAAUUAGAUUUGACUUUACACAUUUAAAAAAUUUCGAUGCCCAAACACCCCUAUUUGAAUGUUUAAUUUACACAAUUAAUUCCAAACAAAUUGUAAGGGAGAAUUAAUGAUUUCACAAAAAAAAAAAAAUAAUAAAUUCAUUCUCUAAUAUAUAAUAACAAUAAAACAUGCCUAAUAAAUGUAGUAAUACAUGCUUAGUUAAGUCAAUAAAAUUAUAUUUUACAUAUAAAUGUAGGUAAAUUAUUUCACACACACAUAUGUAUAACAAAAAAAUUAAAUUAAAUUAAAAUAAAAAACAUGCCUGAUAUACAAAAAAAUUCAUGCAAAAUAAUUUACCUACAUAAUAAAGCAAACCCAAUAUAUGCAAAGUACAUGCAAAAUAAUAUACCUACAUAAAAAUGUUAUUAUUUUAUUCAAUACUAGUUUACCUAUUAUUUGUACAUAUAAUAAUAAAAUGUGCCCAAUAUAUAUGAUGAUACAUACAAAAUAAAAUACCGACAUAAUGAAGAAAUGUUAUUUGAUUCAAAAAUAAUUUACUUACAAAAUAAAGCAAUUGUAUUUUAUUCAAGAUUAAUUUACCUAUUAUUUGUACAUAUAUGUUAUAAUAAUAAAAUGUGCCAAAUAUAUGUAAUAAUACAUGGAAAAUAAAUUACCUACAAAAUAAAAGAAUGUUAUUUGAUUCAAUAUUAAUUUACCUACAAAAUAUAUGUUAUUUAUGUGUGUGUGUGUGUGUGUGUGUGUGUAGGUAAACUAUAUAUGUAUAUAUAUACACAUAUAUAUUGAGCUUAUGGUAGUAAUAUAUAUAUGUUUGUACCAUACUUAGGGCCUCUGUAUUUAGAUCUCGUAUAAAUAUUCGGGGGACUCAAAUGUAAUUAUGUAAUAAAGGAAUGGGCAAAUAUGUAAUAAGUGAGGAACCCUUAUUCUAUAAAAGAACUCCUCACUCUCCUCAUUGGGGGAGGCCAAUUCUUAGGCCUAAGAUCCCCAAACUCCCUCACAUUCAGAGAGCCUCAUUCUCACAUUAUAGAUGCUCUAUUCCUCACAAUCUCCUCAGAGAAAUACAAUAAUCAGUGUGGACGUAGCCCAAACAUUGGGGUGAACCACUAUACAUCUUGUGUUAUUUACAUUUCUUGCAGAUUCACGGUCGGAUUUACGUUGUUCCAAGACCUCCAGUUUUGUGCAUCAACAUUUGGCGCCGUCUGUGGGAAUCGACACGAAGUUAUGUCGGUUCUCUCUCAAUUUUUCACCUCCGCCGUGAAUCUGCAGAAACCCAACAACCAAACACCUGUAAAGUCACUGCAAAACCCAUCCCUAAAAAAUGCAGAGAUGAAAACUCAUAAACUCACCCAUAGUUUCUUCUCUCUUUCUCUCUCUACCAUUAUUUGUCAGUUACAAUCACACCCAUUUAAUCAGCAUAUGAGAAGAGAGAACGAGAUCAAGCUGCAGUCCACGUUUGGCCAAAAUCUUCAGAGCAGGGACCAAAAAUGGCGGAGCAACUAAUAGAGGAGCAGAUCGCCGAGUUCAAGAAAGCUUUUUGCCUCUUUGACAAAGAUGGCGAUGGUCUCUCAGCUCAUUCCUCUUCUGUCAAAUAAUUAAGAACAAGAUGGAGAAGCCAAACUCAUCUGGGUUGGCAAGGACUAAGUCUAAACAAUUGGUGGAAACUGUAGCCGCGAAGUUGAAAUCACCUCCGCCGGGUGAAGCCACUUCGACGGUUGAAGGCGGAUCAACACUGUCGAGGAAGUCAAGCCAGCGCAUGAUGAGGGCGUCACCCGAGCGUGGUAGUGGCAGUGUUGGCAAAAACACACACAUCAGGAAGUCCAGGAGCGCCCAAAUGAAGCUGGACAUGGAUGAGAUGAGCAGUGGUGCUACCUUAAGCCGCGCCUCUAGCACCAACUUAGGAUUUUCGUUCCCUUUCACCAGCUUCACUGUGCCUGUUGAUAAUAUCGCCGACACAAAGCCUUUCAGCGAUGACGAUGAUUUACCUUCACGCAAUCGACGGACAAUGACGCUCGACACCUUUCCGUUGGCUGCUUCGGAUCUUCAUAUCAUGGACAGAAGUCGAAGAAAUUCGACACUAAUAUGUGCGCCGGUGAUGGUGGAAUCAGUUGAUCAGAUGCUGGUCCAAAUGGGAAAGGCAAAGGAAGUUGGCGCUAAUCUCGUUGAAAUUUGGGUGGAUUUCUUGAAGAACUUCAGUCCAAGAUAAGAUCUCAACGUAUUGAUUAACCAAAGUCCUUUGCCUACCUUGUCACUUACAGGCCAUCAUAGGAAGGUGGACAGUAUAAGGGCGACGACAAACAGCGACAAGAUGCCAUGCGUGUAGCCAUGGAAUUGGGAGCGGAUUUUAUCGAUGUUGAACUUAAGGUAACCGAUGAGUUCUACAAUUCGAUAAAAGGGAAGAAGCCGGUGAAGGUAGCCGAUGAGUUCUACAAUUCCAAGACCCACGAGAAGCAUGAGAAGCACUCAUGAAUAAGAUAAGAAGAUGCCCACCAAGGUUCCCGUCUCCUUUAAUCAUUGCCUUCAAUGCACAUAAGCAAGAAAAUCAACCAGCUCUGAGAAAGCAAAAGUGGAAUAAAGGAAAAAGAGGAAAGAGGAAAGCACUUGGAUAAGUAUACUGACCUUUCAUCAUGCAUAUUCCCAUUUUGAAAAACCCAUCCGGAGAACAUGCAAAAGUAUCAAAGUAUGAGAGACCAUGCCUGCUGACCAAACCUGUCUUCAUGUGAAGUUUUCCUUCAACCGCUGCAUAUGUUAUCCCACUAUCCAACCAUAUCUGCAACAGCUUUUUUGAAUGAUGUAAUUUAUUUUUCUUAUCUUUCGAAGACAUCUGUAUAAACCCCCAUCAGAGGGUAGUCACAAAAAAAAAACGGCAAAGCCCAAAAUAAUGGGCUGGAAUGUUAUGUAGAGGGCGAAGGCCCAUAUGCCCAAAAGAGUCAGGUCUUCUAUUAUCACCAACCAGGUGAUCAAAAGUACGUCCAGUACUCCAAAAUUAUUCGGCAGCCUGCUGCUAUUAUCACCAACCAGGUGAUCAAAAGUACGUCUAGUACUCCAAAAACUUAUUCGGCAGCCUACCGCUAUUAUCACCAACCAGGUGAUCAAAAGAACGUACAGUACUCCAAAAUUAUUUGGCAGCCUGCCGCUAUUAUCACCAAUCAGGCGAUCAAAAGUACGCACAGUACUCCAAAAUUAUACAUGAGCAUCACUCAUGUCAAUCAUACAUAAACAUUCAUGAGCAUCACUCAUGUCAAUCAUACAUAACAACAUUCACAUGAGCAUCACUCAUGUCAAUCAUACAAAACAUUCAUCAUCAUCAAAUCAUCAUGUCAACAUUCAUGAGCAUCACUGUCAACAUUCAUGUCAUUCAUGAGCAUCACUCAUGUCAUCAUGAGCAUCACUCAUGUCAAUCAACAUAAACAUUCAUGAGCAUCACUCAUGUUAAUCAGCUUCAAAAGCUUCAUUUACAAAAGCUCCAGCUUCAAAAGCUCCAGCUUCAAAAGCUUCAUUUACAGAGCUCUAGCUUCAAAAGCUUCAUUUACAAAAGCUCUAGCUUCGAAAGCUUCAUUUACAGAGCUCUAGCUUCAAAAGCUUCAUUUACAGAGCUCUAGCUUCAAAGGUUCAACUUGCAAAGCUUCACCUACAAAGCUUCAGUGCAUGGUCUACAAAGAUCGCCUCCGAACAACAGCCAUUUCGGCCCAUACAUGGAUUCAAUUUGAAGUCUCUAGCCAACAGACUUUAUUGACCGAAGACUUGGGGGACUACACUAUGUACCAUAUAUUGGGCCUCAUGAAAAAUACUUGGGGGACUUAGCCCAUUAUUUAUGUACUGAGGAGCGAGCCCUUAUUUUAUAAAAAAGACUCCCUCACUUUCAUUAAAAAGCACCCAUCGCUUAUGUACUGAGGAGCGAGCCCUUAUUUUAUAAAAGGGACUUCCUCCUCUUCAUUAGAGAGCAUCGCCGUCAGCUGAGCAACCACCUCACCGCGAGCAUCAUUCCCAGCCCAUCAUUUAUGUAUUGAGGAGUGAACUCUUAUUCUAUAAAAGGGACUCCCUCACCAUCAUUAGAAAGUAUCGCCGUCUGCUGAGCAACCACCUCUAGCCCAUCAUUUAUGUAUUGAGGAGCGAGCCCUUAUUUUAUAAAAGGGACUCCCUCACCAUCAUUAGAGAGCAUCAACUCUAGCCCAUCAUUUAUGUAUUGAGGAACGACCCUUUAUUCUAUAAAAGGAAGCGAGCCUUUAUUCUAUAAAGGGACUCCCUCACCAUCAUUAGAGAGCAUCAACUCUAGCCCAUCAUUUAUGUAUUGAGGAGCGAGACCUUAUUCUAUAAAAGGGACUCCUUCACCAUCAUUAGAGAGCAUCAAGUCUAGCCCAUCAUUUAUGUAUUAAGGAGCGAGCCCUUAUUUUAUAAAAGGGACUCCCUCACCUUCAUUAGAGAGCAUCGCCGCCAGCUGAGCAACCGCCUCGCCGCGAGCACCAACUCUAACCCAUCAUUUUUGUAAUGAGGAACAAGCCCUUAUUCUAUAAAAUGGACUCCCUCACCUUCAAUGCCACAAGCCGAGUCAAGCAAGGCAACACAAGCAAAGCAGCCUAGCAACAUGUGCUACUUCUAGUUGAGCAUCAUUGCAGAUUAGGCACCGCUUCAUAUCGAGCAUCAGUUCUAGACGACAUCGAGUUACUUCAGCCCACACAUGGACUAAAUUUCAAGUCUCCAGCCAAAAGACUCUCUUGACUGAAAACUUGGUGGACUACUGUUUGUACCAUACUUAGGGCCUCCGUAUUUAGAUCUCGUAUAAAUACUCGGGGGACUCAAAUGUAAUUAUGUAAUAAAGGAAGAGGCAAAUAUGUAAUAAGUGAGGAACCCUUAUUCUAUAAAAUGACUCCUCACUCUCCUCAUUGGGGAAGACCAAUUCUUAGGCUAGAGAUCCCCAAACUCCCUCACAUUCAGAGUGCCUCAUUCUCACAUUACAGAGGCUCUCUCCCUCACAAUCUCCUCAGAGAAAUACAAUAAUCAGUGUGGACGUAGCCCAAACAUUGGAGUGAACCACGAUACAUCUUGUGUUAUUUACAUUUCUUGUAGAUUCACGGUCGAAUUUACGUUGUUCCAAGACCUCCGGUUUUGUGCAUCAACAAUUUACAUUUGAACAUAUAUAUGUGUGUGUUAGGGGUAAUAAUAUGUGAGUAAUAACAUUUAUUGAUUUUAUUUUGAAUAUUAUGGUACAAAUUGUAAAUAUUUUGUAAUAAUAGGUCAAUUACUUCUAUACUUGGCAGUCAUUUUUAAAUUUGGGUUUUAUUUGGAUGUUUAUAACUAGGUGGGUUUUUGUCUAAGAAAUAAGAGUUGCAAGGGUCUAUAUCUAAAGAACCCUAUAUUCUACUAUAGUGAUUCCGUUAUGCAAAAGCAAGUGACAAGAGGAGUAAUUUCAUUUCUUAUACUACUGUUCCAUCUAUCUUGUUUGCAUUCAUGCUUCUAAUAAUUAAGGUCUUGCAUGGAUGUUUUUCAAGUUAAAAAUCCUUUGAAAUGAACGUGAUCGAGCUGGAACAAGAUUUUCAAUUGGUUAUGGAUAUAUAGGUUUCUUGUUUAAUAAGGAUGAUAAUUGAAUAUUGCACUAAAUAAAUAUGUUUAUACCAUACUUAGGGCCUCCGUAUUUAGAUCUCGUACAAAUACUUGGGGGACUUAAAUGUAAUUAUGUAAUAAAGGAAUGAGCAAAUAUGUAAUAAGUGAGGAGCCCUUAUUCUAUAAAAUGACCCAUCACCCUCACAAUUAGGGGAGGCCAAUUCCUAGGCCAUCAGAUACCUCACUCUCUCCCUCAGAGGCUCUGAAUCUCUCUCCCUCACUCCCCUCACAUCUCAGAUAAAUACAUAAUCAGUGUGGACGUAGCCCAAACCUUGGGGUGAACCACGAUACAUCUUAUGUUAUUUACAUUUCAUGCAGAUUCACGGUUGGAUUUACGUUGUUCCAAGACCUCCGGUUUUAUGCAUCAACAUUUGGCACCAUCUGUGGGAAAUCGAUACAAAAAGUUGUGUCGGUUCUCUUUCAUUUUUUUCACCUCCGCCGUGAAUCUGCAAAGAAAACCCAGGAACCAAACAACCCAACACCCACACUCAGAGACACACCCAUUCAAUUUACAGAGAGAAAGAAAAAAAAACUCAAACACAAUACUCUCUCUCAUAUCCAAAUCUCUCAUUCUCUCACAGAGAGCGCACCAAAACUCAAAAAAGGCGUAUUUUAAGCCCAGGUACGAAUAAAACUGCCUGACAUGUGCUCACAAUUAACAUCACCUCACGCCCACAGUUCUGUUUUUACAAGUAGUGAUCGGAGGCAAAAUGCUUUGGUACGACACCUCACUGCGGAAGAAGAUCAAUCAUCCUCCGCCAUGGAUGCUCACAACAACUCCACCUCUGCCUCGCCAGCUUCCAGCUCCACGACCUUGACUCGGUCGAGUUACCGCUGAGUCUAACAGAGUUGGACCCUCGGAUUGCGACCCUCUCCAACCCGUCUGAACCUCAUCGAAGAUGUCGCCGUCGAAACGAUGUCAGGGUAGGACGCCCUCUCCGGUCUCUAUAACCCAUUUCAUUCUCUCUCUCCUGCAAUCUCUAUGAAUUAAAAGGGAGUAAAAGAUGAGUAGUCGAUCGAGUCACACCUAUCUACGUCGGCAAUCUACCUGGAGAUAUUCGUAUGAGAGAAGUUGAAGAUUUGUUCUUAAAUUAUGAGCCUAUUGUUGACAGUGAUCUCAAAAUCCCUCCAAGACCGCCAGGUUAUGCUUCUGUUGAGUAUGAAGAUCCUCGUGAUGCUGAUGAUGCAAUUUAUGGUCGGGAUGGGUACGACUUUGAUGGGUUUCGUUUACGAGUUAAACUAGCACAUGGCGGACGGCACUCCUCGUCACAUCGUUCCAGCAGUUACAGUCGUAGUAGCAACAGCCGUGGUGCUUCUCGGCGCUCUGACUAUCGUGGGAUGGUCACUAGAUUGCCUCCUGCUGCUUCGUGGCAGGAUCUGAAGGGAAAAGCUCUGAUUGCUUGGAGUCUUCUAUUUUUUGAUCAAGAAUAAGCCUAGAGGAGAAGCUGCAGGCAGGUAUAGACUACGCUUGCGGUGAGGGCGUGGCAGACUGCCAUCAGAUCGAGCCGAGGUCUGUGUGUUACGAUCCUAACACCCUCGAGGCCCACGCAUCAUACGCCUUCAACAGUUACUACCAGAAGAAGGCACGUGGAGUCGGUAUGUGCUAUUUUGGCAAGGCAGCCUACGUGGUCUCUCAACCACCCAUCCAGAUAUCCAGAAGGCAUACCUUUGGUUACUACAUUUGUUCACCCCUCAAUGAUUAAGAUGCUUGAUGCUGCUACAGAAGAUGCUCUCGAACGUGAUAACUGGAGCCAUUCAGAAAGGCAUCAAGUUCGGAAAAAGAUAAAGACUCUCAUCAUAAAGGAGCGCAUGUUCCUACUCUUCACAGACGACACCAUGAUGUUAAGGGAAAAGAGAAAGCAAAAGCAGAAAGCAAAAGAGAAAUCAAAAGCAGAAAGCAAAAGAGAAAGCAAAAGCAAUGAAUAAACACCCCACCAGAAUGAUAUGAUUUGCUUUUCUUGUUUUUGUAUAAUGUGAUUUAUUUUUCUUAUCUUUCAGAGACAUCUAUAUAAACCCCAUCAGAAGGUAAUAAAAAAAAUUUAAAAAUUAAAAUAAAAUAAAAGGGCAAAGCCCAAAAUAAAUGGGCUGGAAUGUUGUGUGGAGAGUGAAGGCCCAUAUGCCCAAAAGAGCUAGGCCCUCUAUUAUCACCAACCAGGUGACCAAAAGUACGCCUAGUACUCCAAAAUUAUUCGGCAACCUGCUGCUAUUAGCACCAACCAGGUGAUCAAAAGUACGCCCAGUACUCCAAAAUUAUUCGGCAACCCGCCGCUAUUACCACCAACCAGGUGAUGAAAUGUACAACCCGUACUCUAAUAUCAUUUAGCAACUAGCCAUUCAUGCCACCAACCAAGUGAUGAAAUGUACAACUCGUACUCUCCUUCAUGCCACCAACCAGGUGACCAAAAGUACGCCCAGUACUCCAAAUUAUACAUGAGCAUUACUCAUGUCAUUCAUACAUAAACAUUCAUAAGCAUCACUCAUGACAAUCAUACAUAAACAUUCAUGACCAUCAUUCAUGUCAACAUUCAUGAGCAUCACUCAUGUUAACAUUCAUGAGCAUCACUCAUGUUAACAUCCAUGAGCAUCAGUCAUGACAACAUCCAUGAGCAUCAUUCAUGUCAAUCAACAUAAACAUUCAUGAGCAUCACUCAUGUCAAUCAGCUUCAAAAGCUUCAUUUACAUAACUCUAGCUUAAAAGCUUCAUUUACAGAUCUCUAGCUUCAAAAGCUUCAUUUACAAAAACUCCAGCUUCGAAAGCUUCAUUUAUAGAGCUCUAGCUUCAAAGCUUCACUUGCAAAGUUUCACCUACAAAGCUUCAGUGCAGGGCAUACAAAUACCGCCUCCGAACAACCGCCACCUCGGCCCAUACAUGGAUUCAAUUUAAAGUCUCCAGCCAACAGACUCUAUUGACCGAAGACUUGGGGGACUACAUUAUGUACCAUAUAUUGGGCCUCAUCUGAGCCUCAUGAAAAAUACUUAGGGGACUUAGCCCAUUAUUUAUGUAUUAAGGAGCGAGCCUUUAUUCUAUAAAAGGGACUCCCUCACUUUCAUUAGAGAGCACCCAAUAUUCAUGUACUGAAGAGCGAGCCCUUAUUUUAUAAAAGGGACUCCCUCACCUUCAUUAGAGAGCAACGCCGCCAGCUGAGCAACCGCCUCGCUGCCAGCAUCACUCCUAGCCCAUCACUUAUGUAUUGAGGAGCGAGCCCUUAUUCUAUAAAAUGGACUCCCUCACCUUCAUUAGAGAGCAACGCCGCCAGCUGAGCAACCGCCUCGCUGCGAGCAUCACUCCUACCCCAUCACUUAUGUAUUGAGAAGCAAGCCCUUAUUCUAUAAAUGGACUCUCUCACCAUCAUUAGAGAGUAUCAACUCUAGCCCAUCAUUCAUGUAUUAAGGAGCCGAGCCCUUAUUCUAUAAAACUCCCUCACCUUCAAAUGCCACAAGCCGAGCCAACCAAGGCAACAUAAGCCACGAGCCGAGCAGCCUCGCAGCAUAUGCUACUUCUAGUUGAGCAUCAUUUCAGAUUGAGCACCGCCUCAUAUCGAACAUCAGUUGAAGACGACAUCUAGUUACUUCGGCCCACACAUGGACUGAAUUUCAAGUCUCCAGCCAAAAGACUCUCUUGACUGGAGACUUAGGCGACUACUGUUUAUACCAUACUUAGGGCCUCCAUAUUUAGAUCUCGUACAAAUACUCGGGGGACUUAAAUGUAAUUAUGUAAUAAAGGAAUGGGCAAAUAUGUAAUAAGUGAGGAGCCCUUAUUUUAUAAAAUGACCCCUCACCCUCACAAUUAGGGGAGGCCAUUUCCUAGGCCUGAGGUCUCUCAUAUUCAGAAGAAGCCUCCUCACCCCCAGAGGCUUCACUCUCACCUCACAAACUCUCUCUCCCUCUCAGAAAUACAAUAUCAAUGUGGACGUAGCCCAAACCUUGGGGUGAACCACGAUACAUCUUGUGUUAUUUACUUUACUUGCAGAUUCACGGUCGGAUUUACGUUGUUCCAAGACCUCUGAUUUUGUGCAUCAACAAAAUACAUAAUAAUUCACCGUCAUUCUACGUAGUACUUCGUAUUUAUGCAUGUUAUACGGUACCAACAAAUAAACACAAAAUUGGUGUGUUUUUUUGUUUGAAAUCCGCAUUACAUACAAAAGUUGUGCUCAUCAACUUAAUAAUCCUGCAAUCUGACCAGUUGUCGCUCUGUCUAAACAAUAUACUAGAAUUCAAAAUUAGCAAGCCAGCGUGAUACUUAAAAUAGGGCACAGAAAGCAGAAACCCUACUCUUCCUCUUCUACAUAUAUAUGCUUCUUCAGUAUACAAGACCAUAACAAAAGUUAAACCAUAUAAGGACAACGGUUAAUGCCUAGAACAUGCCACUGUGAACAUUAAACAACAACAUACUAAAUAUAGGUAAAAACAAGACUAAGAAUAUGCAACUAUUGUAAAAGACACAACCAAAACGAAUGCUAGCUAGCUAGCUAGGGAUGGGAAAAAUUAAUAUUCAAAUGUUGUUAGCUAGUUAGAACUUUGAACUCACCUAUUUGCCCUCUUCGAAUGCAACAAAAAUGCAUGUAUUAUUGAGAGAGAUAUGCUAGUCAAAAAGCAGAAGGAAGUGGGUGGGUGGGUGGGGGGAGGGGAGGGUGGGGUGGAGAGAUUCUGUGGUUCGGAACCGGACCACAUGUUUCCAACAGCUAUAGACUCAAAAACAACCUCAUAUCCCACCCCCUGCUAUUGAAGCCCACCGCUAUCCCCACCUGGUCUCACCACCCCCCCUUCCUUCUCUCUCUCUCUCUCUCUCUCUCACAAACACCCUACUCUGGCUCCCGCACCGAAGAGUCUCUCAACGGGGUUGGGGGUGAUGAAAGAAGGAGAGCUAGCGAUCUAUUUUUCUACGUCUAGGAAAGGCUGCAAGAACUUUCUUCCUUCUAAGCCUUCACUUUCCUUUUUUGGUAAACUAAGGCUUCACUUUCCUUGUAUGGAUAAGUUGGUAAACGAAGAAAAAAAAAAAGAAAAAGGAGAGAAAAACCAUACAUUAAAAGUGGAAAAAAUAAUGGAAAAAUAAAUAAACCUUUAUCGUGUAGAGUGUUGGAAGCAACAAGUGUGGGAAUCCUAUUGUCAGAAAUAUUGAGCCUUUUGUUUUGUGCAGUGAUCAGAGGCCUCAGUCCCUUCCUCCUGUGCCUUCUUGUGGUUUAAUUUGCUUGCCCCUUCCUGUUUGUAUGUUUCUUUGUGUCUCACGGUUAGAUUGAUAGAUUCUACUCCAACCCUUGUGUUCUUUAUACUAAUUUACAUGGACGGUACUAGUACAUGGUCUCGCUCUGUACUCUAUUCUAUUGCACAAACACAGACAUUUGAUCAUAAUAAUAUUGAGAUUUUUCUAUAAUUUAUAGAUUUUGUAUCUUAUCCAAGCGUGAUUAUAGCUGUUUGAUUGACUGAUUAAUCAUCCUUACUUUGUAUUACUUUUGGGUUAUACAACUUGUUUUGUACGAUUGUAAAGUAAUUAAGUAGGAUCUCUUGUGUCGACUUAUUACUUUUCGGAUCACACAAGAAGAUAUUUCUCAUAAAUUCUCUCAAAUAAUUGAAUUGGAAUGAAAGAAAUAGGUUUUACAGCAAACCAAUCUAUAAACUGAUGUGGUUCUUCAUUGUAGUUCUUUACUAUAAACUGAUGUCACUUUUUUUUAAGAUCAGACAUUUUAGCGAAUAAAUGUACGUAUUUUUCUAAAUGAAACUCUAUCACAUGAAUUAUUUACUUCUUCCUUUAAUUAUAGCAAUUAGAUUGCUUUUUCAUAAUUCCGUAUUAGGAUAUAUGAAUCGGUCAUAAUUUAUCAUAAUACUUUGGCAUUAUAUAAUUAAUAUUGUUUGUGAAUGCGUUUUUAAUUGUUGGAUACCGAAUACACACUUCAUUACUUUUGCACUAUAGAAUUUGUACUGAAAGUAAACACAGUUGUAGUCGCACGAUCGACCGACCAAACUUACACAUUCAAAAAACUAAAAAUAAACUGGAACCGCCCUUGACAUUGAUAUUAGCUCAAGUAAUUAAUUAAAGUAAUUAGUGGUGGCAUGGAGUUGAGUGGGUGGGAUUAAUUUGUAAGCUUGUGAGGAUCAUUGAUCAGUGCUUCUAUACGCCUCGAACUACACGCACACUUACACACAUACACAUUCACGCACGCAGCAGCAGCAGCAGCAGCUAUUGGGGUUGAGAGUUGAGACCUUCUGCGGUGCCCAAAGUAUAAACCCUUAAGAGCAUCUCCUCCAAAAUGUACACAACAGCUAUAACACUAAAAAAAAAUCACAUUAAUAUUCUCCAACUGAAGUGUCAAAUCUUAUGUGGUGAUGACAUGAAUUGGCAACAAAAAAGGUUGCUGUCAAAUUUGACAGCAGCUUCAAAUAUUUUUUUAUUAAUUAUUAAAUGUAUUUUAUUAAUUUUUAAUUAGUUUAAUUAUUUAUUAUAAUUAAUGUUUAGAUGACCAAUAUUCAUACUUUUUUUUUCUUUUCAAUCAAGGAAGGUGAAUAGAUUAUUAAUUAAACUUUAAGUGUCCUUUAUUAAACUUUUAUUAGUUUAAUAAUUUAUUUUAUAAAAUAAUAAAAUAUUAAUUUAAUUUGACAUAUUGAUUGGAGAACACAACUUUAAAAAAUGUCAAAGUGCCACAUAAACUGUCAAAUUUUAUAUUUAUAUUUUAAAUUUGAUAUCUCCUUUCAAGAUGAUCUAAGACGUUUUAACUGUUAGAUGUUUAUUUAAAAACAUAAAAAUCAAGAUUUAACGCUUGAAAUUCGUAGAAUAUUUUGCACUCCGAAACACUGCACCGUAGGGUUUCUACUUGAGGGAUCACCAUCCUCCAUCAUGACAAGGUCUAAAAUAUCGAUGAUAUCAGAAAUAUCGGUGGUCCAAAAACACGGAAAUUUCGAUGGAAAUAUCGGGAUAUUAUCGAUAUCGAUAAAAAUUGAAUAAAAAUUACGGAAUUUGUAAGAAAAACUUGGAAAUUUUUAUUGAACCUUUGCAGGAUGUUUAUCUAGUCAAUUAUCUAUUAUUUUAUCACAAAAAAAUGGAAGGAAAUGCAUUGCAUGAUGGAUUUAACUAAUUUAAGUUAAUUAUAUAGCGAGCUGGGAAAUAUUGUGAAUGUAAAAAAUUUGUAGUAAUUAAUGAAAGAAGUUUAAACACACCAUAAUCAUUUAUAUAUAAUGAAUUAAUACAAUAUUUUACACUUUAUACAUUGCAUGGUAAGAUACAUGAGUGACUUAGUACCACAUAGAGUUCCUAUCAAGGUCUAAAAUAUCGAUAAUAUUGGAAAUAUCGGUAGUUCAAAAACACGAAAAUUUCAAUGAAAAUAUCAGGAUAAUAUCGAUAUUUUAGACUCAUAAUUCAUGAGUAUGCUGCUUCCUCCUGAGUAGGGGUGGUUCGGUAUGGGAUCCCAUACCGAAACUCUUGUCCCAAUUCCCGAACAGAAAUUUUUAGGAAUCCCAAUUUCAAUACCGAUCCCAAACCAAAUUUUUGGGAAUCCCGAAAUAGUUUCGAGAUUUCGGGACAAAUCGAGAAUCCCGAAAUGGUUUUGGGCUUUUGGACUAAAAUUUGACAUAUUAUGCUUUUGACCUCAAUUUGCCAAUUUGUUUCUACUAAUCUGCCAAUCAAAUGGCAAGGCAUGUUUGUACUAAUUUGUGCACAAAUUUGAGUCCGUGUACACCAGUAAGUAAAAAUGGAUUUAAUAAUGGAUGGAAGGAAAAAGAAAGUCUGUGUACACCAGUAAGUACAAUUGUAGCAUAAAAAAUAAUACGCCAGCUUAAAUUUCUAUAUAGCACAUGAAUCUUUCAUCUCAAUGCAUAUGUGAACCAUCCAGAUGAAGAAUUAUUAAGGAAGGGCAAGGUAUCAAAUAAUCAAAUUUAUAUUCAAUGGUUGAGAUUAAAUCUCAACAUAAUCCGACAGCUAUUAAAAAUCUAAAUAUAUAUUUAAAAAUUAAACAAUAUAUAUAUAUAUAUUUUUUGGUUCGGUUUGGGAAUACCGAAAUCCCAAAAACUUGAGACCGAUUCCCGUACCGAAAUUUUCGGGAAUUUCGGUUUUGGAUUUUUUCGGUUUAGUUUCGGAAAUUUUUUUGUUCGGUUUGGGAUUUUUGGAAUUUUUUUCCGGCCCUACUCCUGAGCUAUAGCUGCUGCCGCUGCAGAAUGUCACGUGCUUCUUCUCUCUCUCUCCCUCUUCAUAUAUGAAAAUAAUAAUAAACAGGUUAAGAAAAUAUUAUAUAUUUUUUGUUCUCGAAUUUAACACACAUAGAACAAUUACUACUGCUACCACACAUGAUGUUGUAUAGUUGUUGACAUAUUUUUGUUGUUGUACUAUAGAUAUUCUUCCCGCCGCGCCUCCUUUUAAUCAGCACGCCUUUGUUUGUCCGCCCCUCUCUUUCUCUCUCUCUCUCUCUGCAUGUCUGAAAACCCUAGCUAAUUCUCCCUCUCAUUAUACUAAUUUUAUAUAUUUAUUCAAUUAAAAUUAAAACUUUGAAAAUAUCUCAUGCACUCCAAAUUUAAUCAGCGCGCCUCCUUUUAUUAUAUGUAUGGAACAAAUUAACGAUAUGAUCCAUUUAUUUUAGGAAAAAUUAAUAUCCGAUCUCUAGUUACUAAUGUUCAUUGACUGGAACCUUAUUAGUUUUUAAAUUUUAAUCUAAGUCCCUAGCAUUAAUGUAAUGAUGAAUUUACAUGUCAAUUACAUAAUUUAUUUAAAUAAAAAUUAAUAAUUGAUUUAGAAUUUUAACACUCACACCUUUAUUAAACUCCUAACUAAUUUUCAAUUCAAAACAUUUCUAAAAUAAAUAAAUAAAUUAGAAUAAGUUUGUACCGUAAGCUUUUUAAUAAACUGUUUUCAAUUUUUUAAUCUUUUAUGCACCCAUUCAUGUAAAAAAAAUUUCAAAUUUUUAAUCUUAAAAUGUACCCAUUCUUAAAUAUACCAAUUUGUUAUAUGUAAAAUGUACCUUUUUUUUUAAUAUAAUAUCUAUUCAAUUUUUCUCUAAUCCAUUUUAAAACUUAUAUGGGUUCAUUUUUUCUUUUGAUUUAAGAAUGUAUCCAUGUCAAGUUUAAUUGAAGAUAUUUACUAAUGUUAUUAAGCCUAAUCUAUUACUUUUUUUUGUGUGGUUUUGAAGAAUGUACCCAUGUUUUAGUACAAUAAUUUUUUUGUUAAUUUUGAUGAUUGUACCCAUGUUUACACACACACACACACACACAAUAGUAUAAUUUAUAUUUUAAUAUUUUUAAUCCCACAAAUUAUAGGUUUUUAUUGAAAAUCUCAUUAACAUAAACAAAUAUAAUUUUUAAUUUUUAAUUUAAAAAAUAGAGUAGCAUACAUAGAAAUAAAUUAUCAUAUUAAUUUCAGGGACUUCGAUAAAAAAUAGAAAACCAAUAAGGCUUCAGUCAAAGAAUAUUGAUAGCUAGGGACCGAAUCCAAAGUCUCAUCUUAUUUUAUAUGUUUGGAUAACUAAACGAUCCUCAAUUUGAAUGACGUUUUGUAGAAAUGAUCUUCAAAUGAAGAUUAAGAAAUUAAAUAGUUCAAGUAUGAAAUAUAUAUAUAUAUAAUAAAAAUAUGUUAUCCGCAUAUCACAAUAGCGCUGUAACUGCAAUUAUUAAUUUUUUCUAAAUAGUUUUGUAUAUGAGAGCCCAAAUUUGAAGGAACGAGAUUGGUGACCACGAGGGGGCAGGCCAUCCCAUUAGCCCAAGACGAAGCGUAAGAGCUGGAGGACUUUUCCUCUCUCAUUUUCUCUCCAACAGUCAAUGCAGCAAUUGCUCUAUGAUACAAUCGUAUGAAACUUACCACGUAACAUCACAUCAAAUAUCAAUCUUCGCAACAUAAAUUGAUCGAGCAAACAUGUCUAGCAAGUCCAAAUGCCUCUCAUUGUUGCUGCGUUUACCUUUUUUGACAUACGAUAAGACAAUCCUUACAUUAAAUUCAUCUAAAUUAUAGAAAAGAGGAUUCAAACUUUUGAAUGCAUGGUGUAUAACACACUAAUGUAUCCAACACGUAUGCGUGUUGGUGACAUCCUUCACCAGUUUUAAUAUCACAUUCAGAAUAAAUGGUUGGAAAAACAAUUUUAAGAUAAUAACGCAGGCAAGUGUGUGUAUAAUCAAUGCAUAGAAUGUAAUGCGCAGAUUAAACAGAAGGAAACAGUAUUCAACUGUUCUACAGAUGAUAGGAAUGAUCAUUAACUCGGAAAACAGAAAAAGGAAAGGAUUUAUCCACAGAAGGUGCACAAUUUUAGCUUACAAAAGGGCAAACCCUGGGAAGAUGCAGAUUAUUUUCCGAAACCCAGAAUGCAAAGCCCAGUUUUGAUUUGAAUAACCAAAAGCUCAUAGAAAGUAUUAAGACAAUAAUAGGAGGGUCCUGUUACUGCGCUGAAGAACCCGUUGGUGCAGACCCAGAUCCAGAUGGAGUAGAUUCCGAAGGUCCAGAACUUGAAGGUGCAGAUCCCGAGGACGUAGAACCUGAGGGUCCUGGCCCUGGUGUUGCAGAAUUCUGAUACUGUUGGUUCAUUGGCAAGGAUGGUGGCGGCGGCACUGCAGAAUUGUAUUGCGGAGGGUGUUGCUGGUACUGUGGUGCUGGUGGAGGCAUAUACCCAUAUGGAGGAGGAUAAAACUGCUGACGAUAUUGGUUAUGUGGUUGAGCCAUGUUCUGAAAAGCAUAAUGCUGACCAUGUUGCUGCCUCUCUGAAGCAGAACUGCGCUCUCCUGACCCUGUGGCCCCACUAGGAGCCCCUUCCUUGGAUGGAAUAAGGGCACCCAUUCUUUGAGGAUCCAUGGACGGAUAGAAUGAUCUCUCCUGUGAAGGUGGAGGCGGCAUGUUGUAGUAGUGCACAGGCGCAGCUGGGUCUUGUGAUUGGUUCUGUUGUUGAGAUAUGACUGCUCGAGGCAACAAACCACUAUGAGCCACCGCCUGCUGCCUCGCUUCAACCAUGCCCUCUGAUUCCUGUUUUGGUGCUUGGGGCCUACCCCACAUUAACUUUAACCUCAAACCCUUUACUACCAGUUUGUUAGAGAGCUCUUCUGCAGCCUUUUCUGCACCUUCUCUUGUUGUGUAGGUUACAAACGCACAUGCUCGUUGAAGUACCAUCCUAACAGAUUCUAUUUCACCAUGAGCAUAAAACUGAUCCCUCAAAUCCUGCUCAGAAAUUCUCGCAUCAAGCCCACCCACAUAUAAGGUUCUUAUGCUUCCAUCCUCAGGAGGUUCCAAGGAGGGCAUCUCUCCGGCCUUGUUAAGAAGCUUCAUUGCCACUGGAUCAUUGACUCUGCAUAUAUUUAGAGAUGAAACAUGAGCACCACAAACUUAAGAAAUCCAUAGGAUUACAAGACAGGCAUGUGCAAAGAUGUGAUGGCAAAAUUGGGAUAUAGUUUUUUGAAAGCAAUAAUGUUGGUUGAAAUGCUAGCAAGGAGCUGAAGUUAUUACACAAAAUAACGAACUCUGAAUUACUAAAUGAGGAAUACGAACAAAUAUAUUACACAAGAUAACUAAAACGGAGAGACUUCAUCUACUUGUUUAAUCUACCACUUUCUUAUACAAGAAUUUUCUCAACUGAAAUUAGGUAGACUUUCAAUCCAACCAAAAAAUUUAGUGAAACCAUUACACAUCAGAAAAAAUGCUCAUGCACAAACAAAUUCACAAGUUAUAACUAGCCAACAGUUGUCAGUUAACUAUAAGCAUAUAACAUGCAACCACAAACCCAUGCCAUGCUUCCAUAUCACCUUGAGAAGAGUAAAGUAUAAGCAUUGGACAUACCCAUAGUAACGAUCUUUGAUGUUUUGCUGCGACAACUCCCCGGUUAUGGGCAUCUCGUGUCUGUAAGGGCACUCAGCACCUCUUGUGCACUCACCACGAAUGUAAAAACUGCAGACAUGUGCUCUGUUCCUUUUGUAAUAGGGCAUUGUUCUUUGAAGCUUCAGAAUAGUGUCACUGGGCCGUGCCUUUCCAUAUGAAGAUUCGUAAUCUAUACCAGCUCUAGCCUGAACUCACCAAUCAAAAUUAAAAUUAGAUGCUAAAGUAUUCCAUAACAUUUACGUAAACUGGUGCCAUAACUCAGACUGAUUCUUCAAGGAAAUGAUAGAAAAGUUACCUUACGGUCGUGCUCCUCGGCGAAAAACUCCCUAUUUACAUCACUCUUUGGAAUGGCAUCAUCAGAACUGAUGGCUAGAGCAGUAUCUCGAACCUGAACUGGCAAACCGUAUUCCAGAUCCAAGAGGCAAACUUGACAAACGUUUUUCAACUUACUGCACGUCUGGCAAAUCUCCGACUUCUUAAAUCGCGCAUCACGACCAGGCCUCCACCUGAAAACUGUGAACGGACGCGUGCAAAUCUUGCACUCCUUGUCAUAAUCAGCUCGUGUCAUCCGUACAUAGGGAUUGUCGCCCAAGCAUGACUCACAGAUGAUGGGAAAAUCUGAUCGUUCCCAACCAUCCGCCUCCACAUUCCUAAGCAACCUGUGUGCCAUAUUACCUAACCUACCAAAAUUUACCGCUUAAAAUUUCAUGAUAUAAUUGGCCUCAAAGUCAGCUGCAUUUAAACAGAACCAUGUUUUUCUUCCUCUCUCUCACUCACUCUCUCUCUCUCUCUCUCUCUUUCUCACACAGACAAAAAAUAUACCCAAUACCCAAAAGCUACAAACUAAAACCUAAUCACCUCAAAAUCCCUAAUCCUUGACCAAAAACAUAAUCAGUCACCUAUACUAUGUACUAAAUCAGAUGCGGAAACUCAAAUCAAAUGCUUCCCCAUCGCCUUAAGUUUGAAAAUUUCAAUCAUCCCUCGAGCCUAAAGUUGAAAAAUUACAAUCCUUUGUCGACUAAAAGAUUCGAAAUACCAGAAAACAAAUAAUUGUACUAAAUAUUAAGUAAAUUUGGUAUAAAUUCAAAUCAAAUAAACAAAAAUCAGCAGAGCUACCGUGUUUAUCUAACUCGAUAAAUAACCAAUGAGAAGCAAAAGAGAACGAGAAAUCUACCUGGAGAUGAGAUUGGCCAACUGCUGUCGGCGACGAAACGGCCGGAGAUGGCCGGCGGUUGCAGCUGAUGUUCAGCGGCUAGGUUUUGGGUUGAAAGGUGCAAGCUGAAGCGCAAGGGAUACACAAUUUUACAGGUGCGAGCAAGGAGAUCAUAUGGAUUCACAGACCAAAACCUAAUUCCUCUCUUCCUCUCGCUGUUUCGCGCUUUGGUUCCCACAAAUUCGUUGCUUUCAGAUAACAGGCUCUUUUAGCUGGACUCCCGGAGGCUUAACGGCCCAAUUUCUUGUAACUUCUUUUUACGCCCUUUAGAGGCCCAUUAAAAGUUGUAACUUUUUUUAUUCUUUUUCCUGGGUUAACCGCAAUAAAAAUAGAGAACUUUAACGAAAAGAUUCUGGUACUCUUUAUUUUAACGAAAAAUCACAUUUUUACAUUAAAAAGUCAAUCAUGGUACUAUUUACUUUACCCUUUAUUUUGUCCUUAUCGUUAAAACUCAAAAUUUUCAAACUCUUUUCAUUAGUUUUCCUAAAAAUAUAACCAUUAUUUACAAAUCUUUACGCCAUUCAUUUAGCUUAAUUGUCCAAUUAUUAUUAUUAUUUUUACAAAAUAUUCAGAUAACUCAAUAUUUUAAUACAUAGACGCCAGAUUGAUGACACGUCUAGGAGAUGAAAUAUUGCAUAUGUGACUUCAAUCUACCGUCCAACGUAGAAAAAAAUUGGGCCACAGGGUGCUUAUUACAAAAAGAAGUUGAUAGUUUAACCAUAUAUACUAUGUGAGAGAGUUGUGAAAAUAAUAAUCAACAUUGUAGAAUUUUUUUAAUGAUUUUGUAACUGAAGGUAGACAUAUUUGGUAAUUAAUCUCAGAUUUAAAUCCACUAUAUAGGAUUACCUUCCAUAUUACAUCCCAUCUAACUCCUACAAAAAGGGUCCUUAGAGUGAAGAAAAUUUCACACUUGAAGUAUUGCAGCAAACUGAAAUCCAUCACGAGAGAGAGGCUCAAUCAACAAUUCGAUUUCAUUUUUCCAGAUGGAAGGAAGAGCUGCAAUGCGUUCGACACUCGUGUUUGCUUUGGUGGUGCUGACAUUCAUAGCGGCAAACCAACAUACUGUUGUCGUUGAGGGUUCGCGCUCUCCAUUGUCGUUCAACGUCCAACAAAGCCCGAGCCCUUCUCCUGGUUCAUCCGACUGCCCUCCACAAGAAUGUGAAGCUUCAUGCAGGGCUGAACUGCUGGGGGAUUACAUAGGCUUCCAAUGCAUGCCUAUUGGCGACGGAACUGUUUGUGUGUGUUUUUUUCAAAGAUACUGUAAUUAGCCCUGCGCCUAAUAAUGUGGUAUCGUAAUUAGCCUCUAAUAAUAAUGCAUGCAUGCAUAAAUUAAUAAAGAAAAAAAAUCAUAUUUAAGUUGGUGAUCUUUGGUUUCUAUGGACAAACAUAUUAGCACCUAUAUCAAAUCCUAUACAUAUCCUUUCGCAUAAGUCCACUCACAUAGCAACUGAAAAUUCAUCAAGGAAGUCUCCCAAUAUUCUGUCAUAUACAUAUAUAACAUUGUAUUUGCAAUGGAAGGAAGAGCUGCAAUGCGUAUGACAUUGGUAUUAGCUUUGUGCUUCUUUACAUUCUUGGCUUCCAAGCAACACUAUAUUGGUGCUGACGCCCGCACAGCUCCAAGCCCAGGCAGCGCGGGUCGUGGUGGUGGUGGUGGUGUCCUUACAGUGUUCACUCCAAGCCCUUCUCCUGAUGUGUCCAUCUGCAGCGACGCUGAUUGUAAAGCAGGCUCUAUUGAUGAGCUCAAGGGUGAAUACUCGGGUUCUCAAUGUGUGGAGGUUGAUCAAGGAGUCGUUUGUGUGUGUUUUACCAAAGAUUAAUUACAACUAUAAGAGCUGAUCUAAUUAAUCCACUAAUAUAAUGCAAGAUGGAUAAAUAAAAUAACAUCUUCACAUUGUUUUGUGAUCUAUUUCUAAGCACAUUUUGUUGGGGGUGAAACUUUGUUUGUUUUGGAUACGAGACGAUAUAAAUACGGUAACAAAAUAAAUACGUUAGUGUAGCCUCAUGCGAAAAAAACUUCACGACACAAGGAAAACGCUAACUUAAAAUGGACCCUUAGUUAUUCAAUUUUUCAUAUCAAUUAUGUGAUAAUCUGAUGUUCCAAAUUACAACCCUCGGUUUAUUGCCCCCACAAAAGAAAUCAUCCUACACCAUUUGGCUAUACCUGCUUUCUUUGUCAUGCAUUUUAAGCAUCCAAGUUAUUUUUUUUAUACCAACAAUGCUGAGCAUGCGGGAAUCGAACUUGCGGCCAGGCCUCGAUCAUCACUUCAGUCACAACCCCCCAACCCAAAUGUGGUACAUAGUUGACUAACUAGAAAGUCAUCAUUAUAGGAACUGAAAUAUAUAUACUUGACAAGAACUAACUGAUAUAUUCAGUAUUGAUGUUUAAGUACAGUUCUUUAUCAAUACUAAAAUAUGAAGGCGAUGGUAUAAAGUUUGCUUCUAAACUCACUCACACAACAUGGCCAGAACUUCGGAUUCAUUGAAGAUGGUUACAUGGAAUUUUAAUUUUUACAGUGGGUGUAAAAUCAAUACUGCACGUAAUAAUCAAGGCAAAAUCCCUUUGGGGAUGAGGACAUCCCCGAUGUUGUUGUGCCAUGGGUCAGCCAAGUGAGUAGCCAGGUUCUCCAAUGGUCCUGUGCCAGGGUACGCCGAUUGUUGAACAACAAACCCAACGAAAGCCAACAACGCGAGCCGGCCUACACACUCAUCAAUCAAUAAUUAGAUCAUCUGUAGUUUAUAGUCCGAUAACAUGGUUUUGUAUAAAAUGUGACAUAAGAACGUAACGUCUUUGUACUCACCAUUUUUUAUCUCUUUGACUUUGUACUCCUCGAACUUCUUGGGGUCCUUGGAGUAGCCCAAGGGGUCAAAAGCGCCACCAGGGUACUUCUUCUUCUCAGGGUCCUUCUCCAUGCUGCGUUGGUGUUCUACAAAGGCAAUGGAAAGGAAUUCGAUGACCAAAAUUGUAGGCAAAGUGCCCCAUGGAACUGGGUUGCCUAAGUAGGUCGCUUGACCUCCUGGAACGGCAGCCCACUCUUGUGCUUUUACCCAGUUGCCCAAUCCCAAAGCCUCUGGUACAAGAAUCCCUGGCUGCAAAAGUGUGUUUACAAGGUUAAUUUAGUCACUGCAAAGUAAAUAAACUGGAUGCAAUUUUUAAGUUACUAUUGUAUGAUACUUACUACAGCAAGCAUUGCCCAUCUGCAGUGAAUGAGCUCAGACUCCUUGAACCUCUCCAAGUUCUCGGGCACUUCUCCUAGCCGAAGUGGGUCAAAUCCAAAGUCACUGAAAAUCCCCAAGCACCAAAUCUUAACACAAAGUCACCAAAUUAUAAUAUGAUUUCUUUUCCAAACUAAUCAACAUCAGAAGCUAAUUAAUAUCGCAUAAUCAUCUAUUUUACUAAAUAGUAUCUUAGGGUUGCGAAAUUUUGAUCACCAAAUGAUGUCUCACUGUGAAAUUUAAUUCAAAUUUAGGUCUGCACUUAAUCUUACUUUUUUUAACAAGAUACGUACGUAAUAACAUAUUAUUUGACUAAUAAUUUUGGUGGCUGUAACAUUAUUAAAGUAGUAUAUUUCGUUACCCGGGUGCAGAGCCAUCAAGGUAAGGAGGCCGGGGCUCGCCGGGCAUCCAGUCGGCUGACAUGGAGAACCUUGAG
This 85237-nucleotide long non-coding RNA is filed under the name Malus domestica (apple). Its description in RNAcentral is "long non-coding RNA (MDOM_LNC007008)". The record is from RNAcentral. Lineage: Eukaryota; Viridiplantae; Streptophyta; Magnoliopsida; Rosales; Rosaceae.